RNAcentral lists this long non-coding RNA (45955 nucleotides) under Brassica rapa (field mustard). RNAcentral's name for it is "long non-coding RNA (BRAP_LNC006354)". The record is from RNAcentral. Lineage: Eukaryota; Viridiplantae; Streptophyta; Magnoliopsida; Brassicales; Brassicaceae.
UUAACCCUAAAGUUUACUUCGACAUGACCGUCGGCGACAAAGCCGCCGGCCGCAUCGUGAUGGAGCUUUACGCCGACACAGUCCCCGAGACGGCCGAGAACUUCCGUGCCCUCUGCACCGGCGAGAAAGGAAUCGGCAAAUCCGGGAAGCCGCUCCACUACAAGGGCUCAGCUUUCCACCGCGUGAUCCCCAAGUUCAUGUGCCAGGGAGGAGAUUUCACCGCCGGGAACGGAACCGGAGGAGAGUCGAUCUACGGCAUGAAGUUCAAAGACGAGAACUUUGUCAAGAAGCACACCGGUCCGGGUAUUCUCUCCAUGGCUAACGCUGGUUCGAACACGAACGGAUCUCAGUUUUUCAUUUGCACUGAGAAGACAUCGUGGCUCGAUGGGAAGCAUGUUGUGUUCGGUCAAGUUGUCGAAGGGAUGGAUGUCGUUAGAGACAUUGAGAAGGUUGGAUCUGACAGCGGAAGGACUUCUAAGAAGGUUGUGAUCGCUGACUGUGGUCAGCUUUAGAUCUGAUGAGGGAGAAAAGAGAGAGGUUGUUGAUCCAAUGGUAGCUUUGUGUUCUUUUCUGUUGUGUUUUUUUUUUGUUCUGGUUUUCUCUGUGUUUCUAUGGCUACCAUUGAAUAAUAAUGAUAAUGAUUAAUCUUAGUUAUUAUUGCUCUAAUUAAAUCUGUUUUAACAUUAUUAUCAAACACGUUAUUCGGAGAAUAGUAAAGCUCUAUAUAAAAUAAAAUAACAAAUGUGUGGAAAAGUUGUGAUUGGAGUGAAACUUUUACGUUAGUAGAUAAUGACAUGUUGUAUUGUUGCUCUGUCCCUAAUGUAGCUGCAUAAAAGUUUAUUAUCAAACAUGUUCUUUGAAUAGUCAAAGGUUUAUAUAAAAACGUAAAGAAUUUGUAGGAAAAAAAAACUUGUGGCGAGUAUCUAAUAAAUACAUUACUAGAUAUUUGUCACAUUAAAUAGUAGUGUAAUUUCGGAGAUUUUUAUAGAGAAUGGAUGUGAUUUGUCAGAUCUUUAGAUGUCAUGGAGCCAUUGAAAAGGAAAGGUUUAUUGAAUGGAUUUUUAUUGUACUGCACUACUGCUAUAUGUGGUCUUGUUUUGCACACGAUGAAGAAAGUUAAUCUGUGGCCCAGAUAUGAAUCGGUAACCAUUGUUAUGACGGUCCACUACCACAUUUUACAGGCCCAAUUGCUUUCAAUUAUGAUUGUGUUUUCGGUCUCUAGUGUUCUCGUUAUUUUAUUUUGUCAACUCAUAUACUUUAGAGUUUGAGUUGUCAUGAUUGGUUUGUCCUUGAGUCCGUAGCUCUUGCAUGCGAAAAGCAACCCAUUCUUGGGUUAUAGCAGUGUUGCGUUGAUAGAGAGAUUAUCGGUUCUCGUAGCUUCAAUAGAUUGGAAGCUUUUUAACGAGACUUGCAGAGUUCCCUAACCAUUGGUUGAUUGAAAAGAGUGAAAAUGGUAAUCUAACACCCUGGUGGUUUUCAAUUCAGCUGGUUUUAACCUUGACUAAGAUCUCUGAACUAUGGAAGUUUGAGGUUUAUUAGUUUCUCCAAUUUAAAUGGUGCAUACUGGUAUCGAUCUAUUUUAUUACUUACAGUUUUUCCUUCUUUGUACUUUUUUGUACUGGUGCAUUUCUGCAGGUCUUGUUUAUGUAAGACCAGUUUGGUCAAAAACUCUAUAAUGGAAUGAAUGAUUAAGAGUUAAAAAAAAUACUAGUCAAAAAUAAUAAUUCAUAAUGGAAAGCAUGAGUUCAAUUUUUUUUUUUCAAAAAAAAUAUUAGCUUAAUCACAUUUAGUUGAAUCUCAUAAUUAGAUGGUUUAUUUUUGAUCAACGUUUCUUCAUGUAUAUAUGCCCAGUUUUGAUGGUCAUACUUUUUAUGUAUCAUACUACUCCCUCUGUUUUUGUAUGUAAGUAGUUUUAACAAAAUAAGUUUGUUUCACAAUAUAAGAUGUCUACAUAAUCCAAAACACCUUUUGCAUUUAUUACAUAUGUUGUGACCAAUCUAAUAAUUUAUGUGUUUUUUAUUAUUGGCUAAAUUUAUGUACUAAUUGCUAUUUUUUUCAAAAGUAACAAUUUUCUUAAUAUUAUCACUUUUAACUAAAACUACUUACAUAUAAAAACAGAGAGAGUAUAUCAUAUGACAGUGCCAUCUUAAACAAUUUAAUAGUUUUGGACGAAACAUAAAAUAUGGAUAUUUUUACAUACAUUUUCGUCUAACAUUUUCUCAUUGCAUUUUAAAAAAAAAUUAAACCACAAGAACUUUUUGAUAUUAAUUUUUUUUUUAUAGAAAAAUGUGUCUUUUUAUGAAAAUCAGGUUUUGUAAACGUGAAAAUUGGAAAUGGUGAACCAUACAUACUUUGUUUUUUGUCUUUGUAUUAGGUUUAAUUUAUGAUGAACUCUUUUAUAGUUUUAUUAUAGAUUUAUCAACUAUUUGAUAAAUUAACAUAGUGAAAUAAGCUUUUAUAAUCCAUAAAAUAACACUAAAAUUUUUUGUGAACCCAUAGACUCAUGGCAAAUGUCUACGUUGUCAUGGGUAAGAGCCUACCCUGCAGCCCAAUAGUGUAAACAAACUCGCCCUAAUUAAGAGAAUAGCAAGUCGGCUUAGGAGAUGAGGAAAGAAGUCGUCAAAUUUACUUAUAAAUACAGCUUUACAUUUUUCUUGCCGAGUUUAUGGUUCUCUUAAAGUUUCAAUAAUUUGGUCUUGUAAUCAACCUUUGAUCUCCAUAAAUGUUUUCAAAUAACACACCACUGAAUUCGUGCUUUCAUCUUGAACACGCCGAGUUCAGAUUUAACACAACACUAAUUGCAUUUCAUUAUGUACACUAUUGAGUAUCGACACAUUUGUAAGUGAUUUUAUUGUUACUUGUAUACUAAUGUGCUUCUAAAAUUUGUUAGAUGAUCUACUCCUAACUCCUAGUCAAUUAACUGGAAAUGGAAUUUUGAUACUCGAAUAUAACAUGUUCUUAUAUUAUACAGUAUUAGUUUUAUACAAAAAGUAGGUAUCAGUGAGAUAUAUUAUUCGGCCGUCUGGCGUCUAGACCGUUUGAUCGACGGAUGUUUAUGCCGAAAUGUUGUUGACAUCCAUCACCGGUACUGUCAUGGAUAAAACUGUAUUUGUAUUUCCUCGACCUAAUAAACUUGAGACACCAAUACUUGUUUAAUUCCAUCAUGGAAGAAGCAUUAAUGUCCUUUCGACAUAUAACAAAACAAUCUUUUUAAUUCGUACGUAACAGAUUCAAAUGCAUGACUUUCCUACAUUACAAAACCUCUUUUCUUAAAUCAAGAAAGUAGCCGAACAUCUCCAAGUGACUGCAAGAAGAAUGGUUCAGGAACAGCACACGUCGAGUAAAACUUUCUUCUUUUUAUUUUAUUUCACACUUCACGUGUUGUGUGUGGAACUGUGUUCACAUUAGUUACAGCUCAACACAACUAUAUUCAUACAAAGUCUUGAUAGUAUUAACUGCGUAGAACCAAUACCUUCGAAACCAAUAACUAUAACCCAAAACCCAUUUAAAAAACAAACUUAAAGAAAGAAAUAUUUAUUGCUCAGCACAAAAGGUUAGGGAGAUAAUUAAUAAUCCAUUACAAAUCUUGGAGGCAGAAACAUUAAAGUUCUUGAGUCGUACGAAUACUCUAAUGUUCAGACCAUAGACUAAAGUUUUUUUCUUGUCAUUGUCAACAACCUCAUUUAAUAUUUUAGCAGUUGAAGGUUGGAGAAGAAGUGAUGCUUUCCUUUUUAUUUACACUUUUUUUUAUCUUAUAGACUUCAAUAACUUCUCAUAUUAUUCUCUUCUUCUUCUUUAUUGCUUAUAGUUCUGAGAUAUCAAAUGGAUUCAAAUCAUACUAUCCUCUUUGUGGCCUUUCUUAUUCUAUGCUUAACUGUGAAUGGAGUUACCGGAUAUGCCACGGUCACUGGCACGGUGUUUUGUGACCAAUGCAAGGAUGGAGAGAAAUCUUUGUUCGAUUUUCCCGUCUCCGGUAAGUAAGAAUGACAUUUGUAUACACUUUGUGUUUCGCUGUAUCUCUGCUUUUUCUUUAGGAUUGUGUUGUUGAUUCCUUGCAGGAAUCAAGGUUAGUGUCACAUGUUUGGAUGAAAAUGGACAAGUCUAUAUGUCAAGAGAAGAGACCACUAACUGGCUUGGAGGAUAUGUUAUGAGGUUCGACGGGACACCUGAUCUAAGCAACUGUUAUGCUCAGGUUUCAGACAAUGGAGCUCAACAAGGCUCAAGUAGUAGUUGCAGCAUCGCUUCAGGUCCUGCGCAGAAACUUAAACUAUUGUUUAGUUUCUUUGGGAUUGAAACCUUCGUUGUGGAUGCCCUUCUUGCUCAGCCGGUUCAGCCAAUGUCUUCUUGUCCUAAACCACCACCAGCUCCGGUUAUGCCUCCUCCUCAGGUCCCGGUCAUGCCUCCUCCUCAGGUUAAGCUUCCACCUUUGCCUCCAAUUGCUCAAGUCCCGGUCUUACCUUCUCCUAAGGCCCCGGCCAUGAGUCCUCCUCCAGAUACAUCGCCACCUCAAUUUAAGCUUCCACCUUUGCCUCCAAUCCCUCCAGUUCCAUUUGUAGAGCCCUCAGCUUGUUGUCACAAGUGAGCUUUCUCUUUAAUUCAUUGCUUUUUACUUGCACCCAUAAAAAAUGGCCAACCUAUCUAAAUGACAUAACAUUUUUGCUUUGUGACUUACAUAGGUUAUGGAUAAGACCUGAGUACAGAUGCUACUGGAAGGUGAUAGGUCCAGACACGAAGGUCGCGGUCGCGUUUGGACUAGUAGCCGGGAGGAGAUAUGGUACUGAUAUGACAGUAGGGGAGGCGCUUAAAGGGAGAGGAGAAGCCUACAAGACUCUCCUAAGGGAAGCAACAACUGCAUUACUCAAUUCAUACAACUCUCUUGGCUUUCCUUAUAACUCCGUUGCUGUGACCACAUACACAAAUAUGGCUCUCCUUGGGAACUCCCAGCACGAUGUUCUCAUGACAGCUAUCCGUUUCAUCAAGGCUAACUCGGGGACAUGCAAAUUCACAGACUGCAAGUGAUUUCAGUGUGUUUUAUUUUUAUCUUUAUUUAAAUACUCUACACUUUCUUAUUUUCCCAAUGUUCUUGGGUCCUUUUGUAACUAACACCUACUAUGAAAAACUACACUUGGAUUCAUUAUCUUUUAUGAAAUAUUGUAUGCCCUUCUAGUAAUAUGGACAAACACAAACUAUUUCCCCACAGACGGCGCCAACUGUCGAAGGUUAAGCCAUGUCUUUGCUUAAACAAAACUCUUCUUCUAAUGUUGUUACGUACUCUGUCUAUUUAAGCCAUGUCUUUUCAGUUUUCAGAGCUUGUUGUUAUUUUCAUUUCUUACGUCCAGACCAUAUUAACCGCUCAGUACCCUUUUCUUGUAAGAAGAAAUAAUAAAUAACUAGAAUUGGUAAUAGUAAAAUAUCAUUCAAUUAUGUGACAAAAUAUAUGAACAAAAUCUUGAAAAGUUUACGCUGGUGUGCGGUGACUCUGACUACAAGUACAACAUUGUAUCAUGAAUGAAACCAAUAUUUUUUUCAUGCAAAAAACAUCAGCAUCUCAAACUAAAAAAUCGUGAUGAACAAUCUAGUGCAAUCUAACUAGAACAAUUAUUAACUAAGGUCACUACCAGAACUUUUGGCCUUUUUGCUAGCAUGAAUCUUAGCAUAAAUCUCCUUUGUCCUAUAAGCCAACAGAAUAUCUAAACCGACUCCAAUAAUAGAAGCUAAAGCCAUCACCAAGAAGACGAGACGGUAACAAUGAGCUCCGACGCAAGUGUUGCCCCCACCAGGAGUUGGUGUAGCCUCUGCAUCGUAGAGGAACCCAGCGAGGAGACCAGAGAAGAGGAACGAGCCAAGUGGUAAGUUAAGUACUAAGAUGUUGUAGAUGAGACCAUAGUAUUUGAGACCAAAGAGUUCUGAUGCUGUGGGUACAGUAAUAGCUAGACGGACACCAUAACAAACUCCGACCACCAUUGAACCGAUGUAAAGUGAAUUGGGGACAGCUAAAGCCAUUAGUAGAUACCCUACAGCCAUGAGGAUUUGAGAUGCUGCGUUCCAUAGUGGUCUUGGUGUUCCAGCUUUCCUAUAGAAAUCAAGAGUAAAAUUCACACUAUUUGCUCAGUAAAGUUAUUAAAUCAGCACGCUGAUAAUGAUCUUCUCUUUCUUUUUUUGAGCAUGAAAAAUCUAUGCUCGUAAAUAGUUUGUAAACAUCUUAAAGUUUGUAAAGAAUCUAGAGGGGGAAAUUCACGUGGUGAGGAAUUAAACAGUGUGGUCCUAAUAAAAAGAGCAAGAUCGCUGGAUUUGGACUUAUCUAUGCACAAGAACAAAAAACUAUUGAAAUGAUCAAACAGAGAAAUCUAAAAGAUCUAUUUUCUUUAAUUGAAAAGUCAAUAAGUGGAGAAAAAUGCAGACAAACCAUUGAUUGUGUGUCCAUGGGUGUAGAUGGGUUAUAGCUUUCUAAUUAAUGUUACAACGAUAAUGAAAGCUUAAGGAUAGCUCCGUACCAAAAAUACCAACCACAUGAAAAUAAAGUGAAUAGUAAGUUGCGGGCGGAUACAAUUGUAUGGAACAUAAAGUGUCGGCAAGUGCUAAUUGGAAGAUGGUGUCGAACCUAACCAAAUAAUUAGACUUUUUGUCAACUUUGAAAAUAGUUAGAUAUUAAUUAACAUUUGUCAUUCACAAAAAAUAAUCAAAACUUAUUUAUGUCAAAUAACUUUUUUGGUACAAGUGUUGUUUUAAGAUUUCAAUGCAUUUAUGAUAUUAGUUAAAAAAAAAAAUAGCACUAAACCAAGUUUUUGUUCAUAAAGUAGCACUCAAGGCUCAAAGUCACAAAAAUAUGUUUGAUUAAAGAGGUAAAUAUACACUUAUACCCCUUGAGUUAAUUAAUUCAAAGGGGUGGGGUUUUAGAAUUAUGGUUUAAAAUUUUAUAAAAAAUUAAUAUUAAAAUAAAAAAUAAAAAUUUUAAAAACAGUUUCAAAAAGUAUUUUUAAAUUAUAAAAAGAAAAUUUGAAAAAAAUAAAAAAAAAAUUCGAAAAAAAAAUAAAAAAAAAAUUAUAAAAAUUUCGAAUCUUAAAACAUAUAAUCUGAAACUAUAAAAAAAUUUCUUUUUUUUUCAUUUUUUUUAUUUUUAUUUUAUUUAUUUUUAUUUAUUUUUGUUUGUUUAUUUAAUUUUAAACCAAAAGUAUUAGAGAUAUUUUACCCUUUAAUGAAUGUCAUUUUUGUGACUUUCUCCUUCUAGUGCUAUUUUUGAGACAUAAACUUCAAAAAAUGCUAUUAUUGACAAUUGCCCUAUUAGUUAAUCUCUCUUAACUGUAUACUAAAUUAAAAAAUAAAGAUAAUAAAAUUUUAAUAUUUAAAUAUUUAAAUAAGGAUAAACUAAAUAUUAACUAUUUUCUUAAUUAACAUAGAAAACCUAAAACAAAUUUUGAUUUGAAACAAAUGUAGUAUAUUUCAGCAAAGAAGGAGUGUUUAAUAAGCACGUUUUGAAUUAUAUACUUUUUCACGAAAAUAACUUUAUCGGAAAUAACAAAAAAUUGAAAAGGUCACUAAUAAAGUAGAAGGAGACUUACUUGAGAAAGUGUUCGGAGAGAGUUCCGGAAAGAAUACGACCGAAGAAGCCCCAAAUACUAGUCAUGGAGACGAAGAUCGAGACGUCUGUGUAACCAAGUGCAAGCCCAAUCUGGCCCAUGUUGUUCAUCACUGCCAAACCAGUCCCUACACCACACAAGAACGACACGAACAGCACCCAAAAAUCGACAGUCAGCAUCGCUUCCAUUAUCGUGUGUUCUUCUCCCAACACCGGCCUCUUCCUCUCCUCCACAGGACUCUCCUCUUCUACAACUACUUCUUCCUUCUCCGCCGAUCUCAGCAGCGGUUCUUGAACCCGCCCUUCCACGUCUUGUUCUUCACCGCGGUUCAAGCUUCGUAUGAACGAGUGGAAAGGUAUGGCGAUCGGAGAGAACAGGAGGAAGAGAAGUACGGAGGCGAAAACGACCGAGAACACUCCGGUUUUGAUUCCGAUGAUGUCGUAAGACUGAAGGUACACAGCAACAACGACGGCUAGGAUGUUGAAUACCGCGAAGUAACGCGUCUCUUCGCUCUCCUCGUCGGCGGAGGAAGCCGGAGGGAUCUCACGGAGGAAGAAAACCGCCGUGAGACAGACUCCGAAAGGCACCACCGCGAGUAAAACGAGAAACGACGCAGGAUCGUUUGAGAAGAGAGCAGUGCAGAGAUCGGUGAAAAUAGCCGUGCUUAGACCGACGUAUCCUUUCAAGAUCCCCGAGACCGGACCACGGUUUCGCCGGAAGUUUCGUAUGCAAGUAACAAGAACCGCCGUGUUCAUCCACGUCGUGCUGUUUCCUCCCAUACAGAGGAAUAUACACAUCUGAACAUUACAAACCCUCAGAAUCAAGAAUUGCGCUAGUAUAAAUUCAAGAAUAUUAUUUUUUUUUUUUUAAUAAUAUUAUUUGUACCUGCCAAUAAGGGAGAGGGGUGAUGGUGCGGCUAACGACGAGCCAUUGUACACCAUAGCCAAGAAGACCUUCUAAAGAACCGAUAAGGAGGAUCACUGGAGUGGAAAGACGGUCCGAGGCGAGGCCAGCGAGGAUUCCAAAGGCUUUUCCGACGUCUUUAGCGACGGAGAGGUUGUUGAGCUGGAGCUGGUUGAGGUUCAUGAGUGACUUGAGAGCGCCAGAGUAGUUGGAGAAAGUGUAGUUGUUGCCGGAGAUGGACUGAACCCAAACCGCCGUCACAAAUCCAAGCCAUUUCAGUGCAGAAGAAGAAGAGGGAGAUCUCAGAAUGCCCAUUGUAGAAGAAAGAAGUUCAAGAAGAAGAAUGUGUUGGUUGUGGAGGUUAAAAUUAAGGGAGGUUUUAUAGAAGGGAAAGGGGAUAUCUUUUGUUUGUGUGAGUGUUUUUUAGUUUAAUUAAAUCGUUGUUGUUUUACAUUUUGUAAACAAUUGUUUUUUUUUUUAAUUAUACAAGUGGGGAAUGAGAAUAGAAAAGGUACGACGGCGACAUGUAGUACGGUUAAGAAGGUGUGCAAACCGUGGAUACAUCACGACAUGGAAUAUUUAAAAGACGGUGUGCUCAUAUUAUAGAUUUCUUAGUCGUUUAAAACAAUUAAAGUAGGUGGCCAACUAGGCUAUGUUGCUAGCCGUUGCUGCUUAGAAUGUUUGUUCCUCCAAAGCUUCAUGUUAGACUCCUAAUGCAUAUUGUGUAUGAUCCCAUCUAUACAGGAGAUGUAUGAUCAAAACAGAGCUAAAAUAGUUAAUAAAGUGCGACAUGAACUAUUACAGAGAAAAAUGUAUGACGUGGACUGAAUUAAGUGUUUUUCAAAGUACGAUCUAGGCCUGGACAUUUUAUCUGAUACAUGAACCCGUACCGAAACUCGAAAUGAAAAACCCAAGCCAAAAUCCAAACUAAAAUAGUAAAAUAUCUGAAUAUGAUAUAGAAUUAGGAGAGAUUGGAUAUUCAAGCUCAGACGGGUAAAAAUUGAACCCGAAUAGAUAUCCAAACAUAAUCGAGUAUAUAUAUACUAAACCCUCUAUUCCUAGUUUGCUUUUUUCGUUUUAUUCAAAAUAUUUAUAUUGAUGUUGCAUAUGACUCAAGAUCAGAUAAUAUACAUAUAAUUAUGGACAAAAUGAUUUACUACUCAUUUAAAAUGCAAGUCAAACUUCUUGUUUCAUGCAUUAACAAUAGUUGCAUCUAAAAUUUCAAAAUAACAAUUUUUAAAGUUUUAUCUCCAAAUAUAUAAAUAGUCUAACCUAUUAAAAAUUAAAAAAUCAGUUACGUUAAUGGUAAAUUUAUAAGUACAAGAAACUUCGGUAAUGAAAAAUUUGAUUUCUUUUUUCAAAGUCUAAAUAUCCAAAUCCUAUCCAAAAUAACCAAACCCGAGCGGGUUCCAGACUUCAAUACCUAUAGACCCGAAAUCUUGAAAUAUUCCGAUCCGAACUCAAACGGGUACCCAAAAUGUCAUGUCUAGUAGAGUCAAUAAAUAAAAAUUUACUUUGGAGCAUGUUAAGAGAAGUAGUAGAGAAAAAGAAAUCGACCUUGCAUAAAAAAUUGACUUCUUUGGUGGAUAACACAAAAUGAAAACUUCACAAACAGAUCGAGAUGAAGCCAAUUUAGUGGGGCAGAAUUGGAACACCCAACCGAAAAAUAUUUGAAAAAUCCAUUGAAAAAUCUAAGUAAAAAUUGAGUCAAAUUUUAACAAAUGAAAUGAAGAAAUACAGCCACUUUAUUGAUGAAAUACAAGAUUAAAUAUUGAAGAACUUAAUGGUGGUAAUGAUAUUAAAUGAAUCUAGUAUAGACAUGUAAUGGACAGUAUGAAGACAAUAUAUGGUAUUUAUAUUGGUUCUACGAAGGGUUAUAGCGCCUUGUCAUAUACACGAGAGAUGGUUAAAGACACUCAUGCGAGUGACUAGGAUAAAUUUAUUUUCGUAUCUAUACAAAAUAAAGAAGGCCGUUCGAUGUACAAUUACAAGAUUUUUUUUUUUUUACGUCGAAAGACUAUUCUAUUACUCAAGUUUGAGGUGGUCUGGAUAACCAAAUCGGAAUAAAACAACCAAUAAAAUGUUACUCCCUAUGGAAGGAUCUAGCAGUCUUAGCUAAAAAGUCUGAAAUCUGAUUGCGCGCUCGUGGAAUAUGAAUGAUGUUGAAAUCCGGGAAGCAUAUUUGUAGCGUCUCUAUCCUCUCCAAUUCUGUCGCAAAGCUUGGCCAAGCCUGAGGUUCCUUUAUCAUUAUAAUCAGUUCCUUAGAGUCUGUCCCGAAGCUCUGGCAUGUUGAAUGUUGAAGCAUAUAUUCUCCAUCGCCCAUCGCAGUGCUUCUACUUCCGAAUGCAAAACCUGAUUUGCGUCGAGUGAAAUUUCUUGUCCCCAUAAGUUGAAUGUUCCCAUAACUGUCCAUCUAGAGCCAUCCACAUUCACUAAAGUGAGCAGAGGAUGUCCAAGAUCCAUCUAACAAGCAAAUAUUACCCAAGCUUAUGACUUGGGAUUCGUCAAUAUUGUUAUCUUGUAUCACUGGUUGUACCACUUCGUUGGCAUCAAACCAGGCUUGGCAUUCACUUCAUGCAUGUCGAACUAGCUCCAAAGGAUCUCUAUCUACCCCCUAAAAACUUUGUCAUUUCUAACAUUUCAAAUAUACCAUAUUAUCCAGGAAUAAGGAUUUAUAUCUUGUUCUGACUCGAUAAUGUUGUUUUUCCUCCAUAAUAGGUAAUCCAUAUUUGUGUAGAUGCUUGGUACUGGAAAUAUACAUGGGGUUCUUGGAGUUGAUAAUAAUGAUCAAACUUGGAGAGCUGACGGACAUUCGAAUAUGGCAUGGGUUACAGUUUCUUCUAGUUCUUCACAUCUUGGGCAGUAGUUGUCACACCUCAUAUUGCGUCUUGUUAAGUUCCUCGUUACUGUCACAUGACCAGUUAACAAUUGCCAUAUAAGAUGACAUAUCUUCAUAGGUGUCUUUAGCUUUCAAGCAAAGGCUUCGAGCUUAGUGAUGCUUGGUUCAAAAACUUCAUUUUCUUCCGCUGUCGUUAAUAAAUUUUGAGCCACCCAAUAUCCAGAUUUAAUUGUGUAUUGGCCAUUCCUUAUAUAGUUUCAACAGGAUGUAUCACGAUGAUGAGUUGAGCUUAUAUCCAAGCUCCUUAUGAAUGGUAUGUCCUCCGGAUGUACAAUUACAAGCUUAAAUGUGAUAAUCAACAAUCGUUUAUAAAAUUGGUGUUAUUGGGAGUUGUAUUUUUAACCAUUUAACUCAUAACACAAGAUUUUGAAAAUACUACUUAAAUACCUUAAAUUUUUAGAAUCAUUAUAUCAAUGUAUUUUCAUAUAAUUUCACAAUAAACAAAAUUCUCCUAAUUUUUAAAAUCAACAAACUUUAUAUAAAUCUUACUCCUACUAACACCCCUUGAGCAUUUAAAAGUUAUUUUGCAAGUUUUUUUUAGGAAACACAACUAAUAUUCCCACUCUAACUCCACUGGACUAUAAUAUUAAAAAUCUGACUAAAAUAUACUUUACAAGUGUAUACAUUUCUUACUCUCUCUAACCUCCGAAAUAAAAUUGAAAUUGGAUGUUAAUAAGAAUAAAAAAUUAUUUUUAAAAAAACAGGAAUAAGAUUGGAUCUGUCUUUGUAAAUAAAAUACAACCAACGCUGCAUUCCCCUUAAUUUGGAGGCAUUCUACAAGUGGCCUUAGAUAAUCUCGAAAAGCCAUUACGAAAAAUAUAGAUUUAUGAACAGCGAUAUCUUUCUUUAGGCAAUUUGUGUCGUCUAAUUUUUUAUAGAGCCAUGUUGUACUAACAUUGAGGGAAAAAAGGCAUCGCCCUGCUUGCUAGACAGAAUAAAACGUGGCAUAAUAGACAACAAAAAAAAAAACGUGACAUAAUAAAAAUGAUUGUACCUUUUUAAGAUCAAUAUAUUUAUGAAUCAAGAAGACAAAUAUAUCCAGCUGUUUUUGUACUCUAGACAAAUAAAAUUGAAAGUCAAUAAUUUGAACUAAACUAAAUUAUUUAUAGCAGAUUAAAAGAAGAAAAUGCUGAAAAUAAAACAAAAAAGAAAUAAAAUAAUUUUUGGACUUUUCUUUUCAAAUAAAAAAUGGAAACAUAUAAAAUAUCUAAAACAAAUUAAGUGACAUUACGAAAUAUCUCAUUGUAUUGCGGUCUAAUUCAAAACCUCUUUACUAUUAUUCCAAUAUAUAUAUAUACAAAUUAAUAAAUGUUGAAUACGAGUAUUUUCAAGAGAAAAUUAUAACUUUAUCUCAAAUCUGACACUAUUUUUUAAAUUUAUUUUUAAAUGUCAACUAUUUCAAUAAAUAUUUUAAAUAUAUUAUAAAAUACAAAAAUAUCCCUCAUAAAUAUUUUAAAAUUAUUUAUAAAAGUUUUAAAACACAAUCCCAUGCACCCACUAAAUACUAUAUCAUGAACAGUAACCACUAAAUCAUAGAUGCAAAUUUUAAAGUGUUUUUGAAAAAUAGUAUCCUAUUCAAUGUAUUUAAAACAUUUUUUUAUAUUUUCAAUGCAAUUUUAAGUUCUUUUAAGCUUUCUUUAGCCCAAAGAAGGUUCUAUAUAUGCCAACUAUCUUUAUUUGUUAGUGGAGGGAAAGAUCACUAAUUAAGUAAUUUAAAAUGUUUUAAAAAUUGUGGAAAAACAGAAACAUAUUUGUAAGAGAAAUCAGAUCAUAUAACCAUACCAAUAUCAAAAUUUAGUAAAUGACCAUAAUAAGUCAUGUGCUAUGAUAAAUUUUGUAUAUAUUAUGUAUUAAUUUCUAUAUUACCUUCAUGUAUGUUGAUUAAUCUUUUUUUUUCUUACAUGUUUCCUCCCAUUUGUUUAAUUACUUAUAUUCCUUUUGAUCUGGUGUUGAGAAACUCUACGAAUUAAUCUUAAGAAAUGUUAAAAAUUUAUGAAAAAAUCAAUAGAGAUAAACAAAUAUUUACAACCUUAAGAUAUGUAUUUAUACUUUUCAAAAACUUUUUUUCCUUUUUACUAUAUUUUACUGGUGCGUUAAAAUUUAAAUCACUAUUAGAAUCAACAUUUAGUAAAUGCAGUCAAUCACCGCAAGUUUAUUAUAAAUUUUACCAUAAUAGACCAUUUAAUAUAUUAUUGAUAAGAAAUAUAUGAUCUGUUAUUUGUGUUUCAAAUCCUAUUUCAUAUGUUCAUUUUCAAGUUAGAUUCAACAAAGUAUAUAGAAAUUGAUAUAUAGUUUGGCAUAAUGUGGCAAAACUCUAUUGACUAAACCUUUUCCGAUUAUGGAAAUAAAUAAGAACAUAUAUGAUGAAUAAAAAUAUGCAAUUUAAUCAAGUGGCAAUGGUCUAGUGAUUCUUGUUUUAGGAGAAAUUGCUCUAUAUGUGUAAGUUCAGAGAUCAAUUUUCUUCAAAUGUGAAAUUAUUUAGCUAUUCACAUUUGACUAGUCCAUAUAGUAACUUGUUUUACACCUAUUAAAAAAACAUGAUGAAUUGACUAUUUGAUAGCAAUAUUCAUCUUUGGGAGAUUAAUCGGGUGAUAAAUGUCCAUAUCAGUUCUUAUAUUAAUCGGGUGACAAGAAACGAUGCAAGUUGUAGUUUGUAAAUAAUAUCAUCCAAAAGAAAUUAAUUAAUUAUAAGGUGGUAGGGGUAAAUAGAUUGACAAAGACGGUUGUUAUCUUCUGAGCCAUUCAAUUGAUUUGCCGGAGAAAUUAUCACAAUUUUGGUUAUCCCAGUUUCUCAAAAACGAGCAAACCGUGAACCGGUUCUCAAAUAAUAUACUCCAUUUUUUUCAAAAGUGUUCUCAAUUAAUAAAAUUAUUAAAUUUUUUAUUUGAUAUAAAUUUUUAGUUUUACUAAUUAAUGAAAUAAAACAAGGGUAAACUAUAGAAAAAUGUUUAAAAAAUGCAUUGGAAAUAUAAAAAACAUUUAUAAUGAAACAAAAUUUAAAAACUAAAAUGACACUUAAUAUGAAACGGAGGGAGUCUAUGAUUUAUUUUUCUUUGGAUCUACUAAAAUUAAAUAUAUUAAUUCUUGUUUUUUUCAAAAAAAUAUAGUAAUUCUUUUCGACAAACAAAUAUAGUAAGUUUUAUAUUUUGUAAAAUCAUUGUGUUUAAAACAUUUCCUGUCAAAGGGUUUGGUUAUUAAAAAAAAAAAAAAAAUUACAACGGAAAAGAACCACGACCACAAAGGUCCUAGGACUGUAGGAGUAGAGAGAUGCGUUAACAAAAGAAACCCUCGAAAACUCAAAUUAUAGAGAGGAAAAAAGAAGGGAAGAAUCCAUUUCCUUUUUUUUUGUCAAGUAGAGAGUACAUUUCCUAUCAGUGGCGAAGCACUUAGAGAGAAAAGAGAGAAAAGAGAGAAAACGCGUGGGAGGGAAGCACCGACGUACGGCGGCGCGUAUGCGCGCGUGCCGGCGCCGGUGGCUCCCUUCUUGUCGAUCCUUGCUAGGUUUUCCUCUGUGCGCGUCGAUCUGCUGUCCUAUCCGAUAUAUUUUCGGAUCUGGAAUAGGGUUUUAUCGUCGGAAGAGAUUUGUCUACGGAGGGUUUCAAACGGCGGUAAUCUCUCUUUCUCUGGAUUCGUGGUGAGGUAGUAGGACGCGGCUCGUCGCGACAGCUUGUUAGUUUUUUGGGUUGAAGUUAGGGUUCAUUCCGGGAGGCGGAGGCUCCGUUAGUUCCGCCGUCGCCGUUCAAGUUUCCGGGGGGUGGAGGCUUCUUCAGCUCUGCGUCGCCGGCAAAGUCUCCGGGAGGUAGAGGCUCUCUCAGCUCUGCGUCGCCGGAUCAUGCACCGAGGGGUGAAGGCGUCUUGUACCUUGCCUCGUCGGCUCUUGCUGCUUAAUUUUUAGAUUAGUUUUUUUAGGGCCUUUGUGGUUUGUUUAUGGCGUUGGUGAUGGUUUAGACCCGUGUGUGUUCUCUCGUUGGAGGAAGAGAGAAGCGUCCGUAUCAAGUUGGUGAUGUUUCUGUGAGCCGUGGUUGUUACUCUGGUGUGUGCUCGAACGGUGGUGGUGAUGAUCUCGCUCCGGCGAUUGAUCUCGCCGGUAAAGAUUUCUCUAGAGUACAAGACGGCGGUGGUGAAGAGUGUGUGUAGGUCAUGGGAUCCGGUUUGUCACGGUGAGGCAUGCUCCUGUAGUGGCCGGUGAGAAGCGUCCGAUCUCUGACGUAAGUGCUCCCGGUGGCGGCGACGUUUGCGGGUUUGCUUCUCGAAGUAGGGCGAACCGCGAGUCGGCGAGUUUGGGUUUGAGGAUAUCGGACUUGGGCCUAAGCGGGUUGGUUUUUUUAAGUUGGGCUUUGUGUUUGGGCCUUUUGGUCUUUGUAACUCUCUUUGGGCUUCGGCCUUUUUGCUAAUAUAAUUCAGUUGGAAAAAAAAAAAAAGAGAGUACAUUUCCUAUUAAAAGAUGUUUGGAGAAGGCAUCAAAGAGUGUACCAAAGAUCUUGAGGCAACCCAUUUUUAAAACUCGACUAAGUCUCUUUGAAUAUGAACGCAAUAAUCUAGUUUAUUAGACAGAACUAGCAUUCCCACAAGAAUAAACGCAAUAAUCAAGAUUGCGUUUACUACAUUUUUUGCCUUCUAAAUACAACUAACAAUUCGUACUCAAUUCGUUAGCUUACGAUAUCAAAGAUUGGACGUUCAUAAGAAAAAAGAAAAAAAGUUAUCACUUAACGAGUGUACAAAUUGGUUUCCUCUUCCUCAUCCUAUAAAAGUACGGGCAAGUGUUUUUUUUUAUAGUUAUGAAGUGUAUGGUACAACGUGAAAAGGACUGUAGCUUGUUUCCUUCGAUUUGAAAGCAAUUUACAAGUGGCUUUAGACGUUCACCAAACGCCGUUAAUUUCUAAAAGCUCUAUGAGAGCAGAAAAAUGCUUUUCAACAGCAUGCAAAUUGUUUAAGAAACCAUGUUGCAACUAAGGUCAAACAAAUAAUAAUAAAAUAUCACACCGUAUCUAAUCAAAUCUUAAUGCUUGACCGAGUCACAUGUGCAACAAUCCUUGCAACUCAACCUGCAUCAACAUCUUAAACUUUCACGAAUCAAAAUCACCCUAGUCAACAAACUUUUUCAUCUCACUUGUUCCAUUAACAGAUUCCAUCUUGAUCUAUAUUUCAAAAGACGAUCAAUAGCAACACAAAACUUUAAGCAAUACAGAUCAACCUUACAACCUCAAAAUCAAAACGGAUCAAACCUUUAUUCUCUACACCGAGAACCUGGCUUUGUUUGGGUAUUCGACCUAGUUUCUUCUUGAUUGAGCUGAUCUAAACUUAGCAAGUAAUAGAACUCAAGAAAACAAGCAUACACAUACGAGAUUUGUUCAUCCGGACUUUGUUUCCUACUAUCCGCAAAACUCUCGAACCUUGAUUAUUGAUUGAUGUGAUACAAAAGACUGAUACCUUGUAUUGAUUUCAGACUUGAAAUGAAUGUAUUCGGUUAACCAAAAAAAAUAGACCAUUUUUUCCGGUAGCUACAUGACACUAGCCUUUACAUAUUUAUUCGAGAUUAUUAUAUACCCGACAUUCUGCCCCAAACAAAAUUCCAUCGAAGUUUAAAACAAAUAAACCGAAACCAAACUACCCGAAUAAAAUCAAACCGAUUAUUUAAUUUGGUUUCAAUUUUCCAAUAACCGAAAUUAUCCAAAUCGAACCGGAGCUACCAGACUUGUCUAUUUUGAUUUUUCUUCUAACGAAAGGAGACUUUAGUCUGAUAAAUCACGCCCGUAAUAAAAUAUAUAGCUUCUCCGAGGAUUCGAUUCGAUUCGAUGAAGGCUGCUCGAGUCUUGGCGGCUGCGGCGGCGAGGGUUGGACCGGCUAUAAGGAAGCAAGUGUUAACCAUAACGGACGAAGCUGCCUCUAGGGUUCAUCAUCUCUUGCUCCAGAGGCAAAAACCUUUCCUCCGACUGGGCGUUAAAGCAAGAGGCUGCAACGGUUUAUCAUACACCCUCAAUUACGCAGGUAACCUCACACACAAACCAUUGUCUUGAUUUUUUUAGUGGAGAAGGCCCACGUUGCCUCCAAUGGGAUGUUUCUUGUUUUGUUGAAUACUCUAGAUGCUUGCCUAUUGCUAUGUUACACUCUGUUGAUCAUCACAUAUUGUUUAUAGACUCUGAUCAUGUGAUCAGAUGAGAAAGGGAAAUUUGAUGAGCUGGUGGAGGAGAAAGGAGUGAGGAUCCUUGUGGAACCCAAGGCCUUAAUGCAUGUGAUUGGAACAAAGAUGGAUUUCAUAGAUGAUAAACUAAGGUUUGCAAACUCUUGUCACAUUUUUAUUUCAAAACUGUAACAAUAUUUUUUUAAAAAAUAUUUCUGUUGUAUAAUUGCAGAUCAGAGUUUGUGUUCAUCAAUCCAAACUCGCAAGGUCAAUGCGGGUGUGGUGAAUCGUUCAUGACAACAUCUACUUCCUCGAGUGCUAAACAGAGUGGAUAGUGUUGGCUGCUGCACUAUCAUAUAGUAUUAUCACUUUGUUACUAUAUAAUCGGAGUCGUUGAUUGGAAACAAGUCCGGUCGUUGCUCAUAGAUAUUACUGAAGCUUGUGAUUUGUGGAGAUCAAUUAAUGUAUUCUUUAGAACACAAAGUUAUAAUAAAGUGUUGGAUUAUGUAAAAAGUAAUUGAUCUUAGAAUCAGGAGUUUUCGCUAUGUUGAUCGAUCUGUGGGUGGUUGUGGGAUCAAAAGCUGCCUCUUCAUAGUUGAUAUGUGUUCCAGUGAAGGAAGUUUUAAGGCAGGUUUUGGUUGAAGUUACUCUUUAACAUUCAGACAAAAGCGUAACUAAACAUAAAGAAUGGAAACCUGUAAUUUAUUUUGGAUGCAGUGUGAAUAGAGCUUAAUUUGUUUUCGCAAUGUAUAUGGUGACUUAGAAAGCUGUUUGAAUGAAGUAAAUGGAGAUACUGAUACCAAAGAUGAGAUUCUAAAGACAAACUUCAAGGAAAAAAAAAAGCUACAUAGACAAGCUCAUGCCUGUUGAUUUAAGACAAUACUUCAAUUACUCAAAAGUAAGAAAAAUCAAACAAGGUGCAGGAACCAACAUAAUAAUAACAAGAUAAAAGAAAUAUUGCAUUGUAUCACAAGCUAACAACACCAAAGAACUUUCCACUCCUUAAUCGUUGAAGCUGAGUAACAGAACCAGGUCUCUUCUUCCUCCACCACCAAAAGCCUCAACAGAAGCUACACUCACCACGACCGCCACAACGACCACCGGAAAAAGGGCCACCAACAUUAAGACUAGUAGGACCAUAUCCACGACCACGAACAAAAGGACCAAAACUAGUAGUGGUGGUCGCCUUUUUAGUAUUUGCUCUAUAAUUUCUCUGGACAGGCUCUUCUUCAUCAUCAUCAUCAGAAGAAGAUGAUUCAUCCACAGACAUGUUGUCUGCCUCGGCCGCCUUUACACUGCCAGUUUUCAUUAAACUAACCGAUGAGAUCAACAUAUCCACUUUUUCUUCAAUCUCCCGAAGACGACAGUCCACCUUUUCUUCCAUCUUCUGAAGACGAUGAUCCACCUUUUCUUCCAUCUUCUCAAGAAGAUCAACCAAUCCUUUCAACAUCUCUAUCACAUCAGGUGUUUUUUUCUCGGUUAUGUCUUUCUUAUGUUUCUCCAAAUCAUCUCUCGGCUCUCUGUUCACUACUUCCUUUAGAUGCGCCGUGGCCUUAAUCGCAUUCGAAGCUGCUCCAGACGGGGUGGCGGAUUCUUUAUCCAUUGAGAAUAUGAGAAGAGCGAAUCUAUAGGUUACAGGGUGAAAGUGGAGAUCGGCAAAAAAGACCUAGACGAAACUGAUAUUUAUAAAGUCUUUUAUUGAUGUAGCGUGCAUCGUAAGUCCUAAUGUAUUUUGGUUUUUAACUUUUUACUAGAGCUUGACCCGCGCAUCCGCGCAGGUGUUAAUUUUUUGAUAAAUGAAUAUUUAUUUGUAUAAGUGAUAAUAUAUAUUUUAAAAUUUACCCGUUUAAUUUUUUUUUAAUAUGACAUUUAUAAACACAAUAAUUUUAUAGUUUAUAUUGAGUAGUUUUAUUUUAUCAUGUAAACCCUUAAUUAUAUCAUCCAUUUAUUUAGAAUACGACCUGUAAAAUCACACAAAUGUAUUUUUAUUUUUUAUGGAUCAAAAUUUUAUGAUUAUAUAUAAUAAAAUUAUUGUAUAAACUGUUUUUAUGGAUCAAAAUUUUAUGAUUAUGUAUAAUGAAAUUGUUGUAUACUAUUUAUUAUGUAUAUGUGGAAUUAGUAAAAUAAUUACCGUAUAAUGUAUGUAAUUACGAAAUGUAUAUAUGGAAUUAAUUAUUUUCAAAUACACAUAUGUAUAAUAAAAAGGAAAAGACAAAAAAUAUUAAAAGUUAGGUUUAUUAAUUAUUGUUGCCAUGAUUUUUUAGUUAGAAUUUGAUUUUGGAAAUACAUUAAUUGAAGAAAAAAGACAAAAAUCCUAAAAGAUAGGUUAAUUAAUAACUUCAGUGGCAUGCCAUUGUAAAUAUAGUGGAAAACUAAGGGAUAAUCUAAUUUUGUACUCCUAUUUUAAUAGAUUAGAUGUAUUUUGGUUUUUAACUUUUAUUGAUGUAGCGUGCUUCGUAAGUCCUAAUGUAUUUUGGUUUUUAACCUUUUUAUUGGUUGCAGCGUGCAUCCUAAGUCCUAUUGUAUUUUUGUUUUUAAUUUUUGUUUUCUUAUUUACCUUUUUCCCCUUCUUGAUGAUUAUAUUGGUAUUUUCCUUUAUUACAUUACAAACCAAAUUUUGUUUUGUUCCAUUUUAAAUUUCCACUAGGUUAAAUUUUAUAAUUUAGGAUAUAAGAAGGUAAAUAAUUUUUAUGGAAAAUUAUGUCCUGAAAUAUGGAAACUUCAAUAUGCUGAAAUAUGGAAAGUUCUCCAUUUAUGAAAAGUUUUCCAUUUUAUUUAGAGGUAAGAAGAAAACCAGGCUCUAAAGUAAAAAAAAAUUUCUAAGCAGGAGAAGGUGGGUGUCCUUCUCUAAGAAAAAUGAAUGAUUUCUUGGAUUAAUUAUCUCCAAUAGUUUUCUUCUUAUCUUUCGAUUUCAUGAGUGAAGUCUGAGAUUACAUGUACACUAGUGGACUGGAGUCAUACAUUUUCAGCAAGUGUGUAGUACGAGAAGGAUCUCCUAUUUUUGAACAAUUUUUUGGAUUAUCUUGGUCUGGACCGUGUGGAAACCCAAAAUUAAAUAUCUCACUACGCCAAGGCGGAAGAGAUUGUCGUACUUUAUGUUGUUCUGGCCCAGAGCCGCGUAUGAAUUUUACCAUAUUCGUUUCCUGGUUAAACGAUCGUCAAAGAGCUUCCGGUUUUCUCCUAUUUUUAAGUUGUGUAGGUAAUCCCUUAUAUAUUAAUUGAGGAACAUUUGAAAAGAUGUAACCUCAAUUUUGUAUUAAUUAAAAGAUGCCCCAAUGCAUACGUGUCACUCAAUUAGGUAGUCAAUUACAUUCAAUUGAAAAAUAAGUAGGUCCACAUUCAAUUUUUAUAUGUUGUUAGAUAUAUAAGUUGGUCAAACUAUAUGAUAUAAUGAUAUGAUAUGAUAUUUUCUUUCCUUAAAUAAAACCUACGGAAUUACCAUAAAUGACUAAUAUAUAUAUGACAAUUAAUGAGUUUAAUAAUAAAGAUUUGAUAACAAUGUAUAUCUCCUCCAUCAUUUUUUGUUUAAUUUUAUAUUAUUAAAAUAAAUUAAACAAUCAAAUUAGCUAUAAAAAGAAAAUUUAGAUUUUUUCGUAUAUGUUAUAUUUUGAAUUUUUAAAAACGAUAAUAAAUGACUAAAACUAUUAAAAUUUUUAUGUUAAAAAUUAAUGAUCAAUGGUUUAACAUUUUUAUUAUAAGAAGAUACACAUGAUUUUAAAACCAUAUGAGUAAAAAAUAUCAUUUAAUAAUAAAAUAAAUAUAUAUAUAUAUUAAACACUAUAUACCAUAAGAUUACAUAAAUAUUUUAAUAUUAAAACUUUCAAUGAAUUUUCAAGAACAUUUAUAAAUUAUAAACUUAUUAAAGAUUUCAGAUUGAAAAUUUUGUUAUCGAUGAUUUAAAUAUUUUGUUAUAAAACGAUAUGAACGAUCAUAGAACCGUAUGAUUAUAAAUUCUUAUUUAAUAAAUAACUAUACAAAAUAUACUAUUCCUAGAAAAAUAGGUUGGUCUAUCUUAACUUAUAUUACACUUUUUAUUAAACUAACUAUCGAAUUGAUAAAUAACGUACCAAAAAAUGUUUUGCACUUUCCUUAAAUAAAAGCUACGAAAUUACCUAAUAUGAUUAACGUAUAUGUGAAAAUUAAUUAUAAUGAAUAAUAAAUAUUUGAUAACAAUUUUUGUAUAUUAGUUCUUUUUUUUUAAUUUUAUAUUAUUAAAAUAUAUUUAAAAAUCACAUUAAAUAUAUAAUAAAAACAUUUAUAAUUUUUCUUAUAUGUUAUAUUUUGAAUUUUUCAAAACGUCUAUAAAUUAUUAGAAAUUUGAAGAUCCCCACUCUGAAAAUUUUGUGAUCAAUAGAUUUUUUUUGUCAUAAUAAGUUACAAAUGAUCAUAAAAUUGUAUUAAUAUGAACUUUUAUUUAAUAUUAUAAGAAGAUACACAUUAUUUUAAAACCAUAUGAGUAAAAAAUAUCAUUUAAUAAUAAAACAUAUAUAUUUAUAUAUAUAUAUAGAUUAUACUAUAUACCAUAAGAUUACAUAAAUAUUUUAAUAUUAAAACUUUCAAUGAAUUUUCAAAAACAUUUAUAAAUUAUAAACUUAUUAAAGAUUUCACAUUGAAAAUUUUGUUAUCGAUGAUUUAAAUAUUCAGUUAUAAAAUGAUAUGAAUGAUCAUAGAACUGUAUGAUUAUAAAUUCUCAUUUAAUAAAUGACUAUAUAAAAUAUACUAUUCUUAGAAAAAUAGGUUGGUCCAUCUUGACUUACAUUAUAUUUUUUAUUAAACUAACUAUCGAAUUGAUAAAUAAUCUACCAAAAUUUUUUUUGCACUUUCCUUAAUUAGAAUCUACGAAAUUACCUAAUAUGAUUAACGUAUAUAUGAAAAUUAAUUAUUAUGAAUAAUAAAUAUUUGAUAACAAUUUUGGUAUCUUAGUUCUUUUUUUUUUAAUUUUAUAUUAUUGAACGAUAUUAAAAAAUCACAUUAAAUAUAUAAUAAAAACAUUUAUAUUUUUUCUUAUAUGUUAUAUUUGAAUUUUUCAAAACGUCUAUAUAUUAUUAGAAAUUUGAAUAUUCCCACUCUGAAAAUUUUGUGAUCAAUAAAUUAUUUUUUUGUUAUAAUAAGUUACAAAUGAUCAUAAAAUAUAACGCAUAUGAAUUUUUAUUUAAUAAAUAUUCAAACUAAAUAAUAUAUAUAUAUAUAUAUAUAUAUAUAUAUAUAUAUAAACACUAAUGAUUUAAAGCAACAAGAUUGGCUGAUCAAUUUAGUCGUCCAGUUGAAAUCUUUCAAAAGUAUGUGAAAGACUAAAAUCAAAGUACUUAUGGAUUUAGAAUAGUAGUUAUAUUUUACUUACCAAAUACCGAAAAAACCGAACCGAACCGAAACCAAUCCGAUAUCCGGAUUGAACACCCGUAAUCCAAAUGAAGCCAAACUAUUGUUUCAUUCUUCAAAAUAUAAUAAAAAUAAUAACUUAAUCCCGCGCAAGGCGCGGGUCUUAUCCUAGUAGCAGUUAUAUUUUUCUAGGUCAACCGACACUUUCUUCUAGCUUUUUUCACCUCUUUCAUUCUUCUCUGAUCAUAGCAGUUAUAUUUUCAUUUACAAAAAUAUCAACAAAGUAAGGUCAAUUUUCUUUCUUUUCCUUAGAAGUAGAUGAGAGAAGAAGAUCAGCAUUUACCUAUACGAAUAAAUUAGGUCCUUUAAUGUAAACUUUUUAUAUUUCUUCAUAUUUUAUAGUUCUAUUUGAGCCAAUCUAUCUGGUUUUAUCAGCCGUGCCAGAAGCAGAUACAAAAGCUGAUGAUGGCACAUGGCAGCAAAACUAUCAAUUUUAUUUUGACCUAAAGACAAAAUUAUAUAAUAAAUACAGAUGAUUAGGUGAUACUAUGUUGUCUGUUAAUGCUCAUCGUGUAUCUUCUUUAAACCCAAUUUGCUUUUUAAUUAUCUCAAAAUGUCUUUGAAUAUUCAAGUGUCUCUCUCUCUUGAUUUUGUGUUUGUUUGUAUCUGAUAGUAGUUGCAACAUAAGUUUUCUGACUUUUAUAUCUCUUACUUCCCUAAAAAAAAUAGUAGUAUUUUUAAAGAACAAACAUCAAGUCUUGAUUUAUAUUUAUUUAUAUUAUAGCGAAUAAGUCAUUAAUUCCUCUGUAAUUCGCAUUUCGUAUUAAUUCUUUGCACAUAGGAAGCAAAGGUAAAUGGCAUUGGAGAAAAACAAAAAUGUGGAUAAUGUGAAUUUGAAGCAGAGGAAUAUUGUCUUGGUUGGAAUGUUGUUGUUGUUCAUUUUUGUUCAACUUCUCGUGAGCUCUUCUUCUCUUACUUGUUAAAUUUUAAUCAUUUAUAGUUACUCUUUAGUCUUUACUAAGUAUUUUUUUGUAUGGUUCUGAUUUAUGGAACUUGGAUGAUAUGAUUCAGGUCGUGCCUUGAAAAACAAGUCAUCAUUGGAUCGGUACUUAGAACUUUACAGUGAAUUCUACUCAACAAAGAAGGUAGCUUCACGUCUUUUUAUGGGUUUAUUUCGAGUAAAGACACGAUUCUUACCAUUGGGUAACAGAGAAUAUUUGGGGUUUGAGAACAGAUUGAGCUCAAAGGAGAAGUUUUGAAGGGAAACUCAGUACAAGCGGUUUGUUAAAGAGGCAAAGAGAUACAACGCUAUGUCCAUUGUUGUUGGAGUUAAACAUCAAAGAAAGUUAAGGUGAGAACUAAACACAGGGAGAAAAGUUUACUUAUAAAAAUUGAUAUUCUCUUACUAAUUUUUUAUAUGUUUUAUUAAGUCUUAAAGUAGCUAAAGGCUGCGCAAAAGAGCUUCCGCCAACAACUGAUGUUUUGGCCAUCUACAGAGGAAAUAUAUUCUUUAGACGUUCCAACUAUUACCAACCACCUCUUGGUUCGUUGGUUCUCUUACAUCAUUUAAGAAAAAAACUAUGUCUAUAUACCAUUCUUUAAACUGGUUGACCAGAAAUGAUUUUUGUUCUUCUUGCAGCUCAAAAUACAAGUCCAAGACCAAGUUCUGAGCUUUAUAAUGGGACUUUCAGACAAAGACAUCGAACUCAAAACCGAAGAAUCGACAGUUAAAAGCCGAGUUCUCGAGAUAACAAGCCAAGAGAGGAGGAGAGUUUCGGGUAGAUCGCUUUCUCUUCCACAUGUAGAGGUAAUGGACCAGAAACCAGGUUGGCCGCUGCUAAGAACAACCACUUUGGCUACUCCUGUGGUUCAACAUCAGACUCGAAAAGUCUCAGUUGUCAACUGGGUCAUGAGCUUGCCUGAACGGUUUCCAAAUCUGACUUCUCAACAAAGCUUUUGCGAUUCACAACUUAAAGACAUACUAAAGGAAAUAAACAAAUGGUUUAGCUAUGAUGUUCUUAAGACAGCAACAUCUGAUUUCUCUUCAGGUACUAUCUUAUAAAUCUGUUUUUUUCUAUUCUCUAUGUCACUUUAUGUUCAUCUGAUUCUUGUUUUUUUCUUUUAUUACAGAGAAUCUAAUCGGAAAAGGAGGAUGUAACGAAGUCUAUAAAGGGGUUCUUGAAGAUGGGAAAGAAGUUGCGGUGAAGAUCUUGAAAUCAUCUGGUAAAGAAGCAGUGAAUGAUUUUAUUCAAGAAGUGAGAAUAAUCUCUUCUUUGAGUCACCAAAACAUCUCUCCUCUGAUCGGUAUCUGCGUUCACUACAACGACCUAAUCUCGGUUUACAAUCUCUCAUCCAGAGGAAGUUUAGAAGAAGCCCUUCAGGGUUAGCACAAUACUAGUCUACUCUUUAAACCAUCUUUGACACAACAUAUAUUAAGUAUGGUUAUAUAAUUCUGCAGGUAAGCAUGUAUUGGAAUGGGAAGAGAGAUUCCAGAUAGCAAUUGGGUUAGGGAAAGCUCUUGAUUAUCUUCAUAACCAAUGUUCUAAUCCUGUGAUCCACAGAGAUGUUAAAUCUUCCAAUGUUCUCCUCUCGGAUGAGUUUGAACCUCAGGUAUUGAGAACUAGUGACUUAGAACUCGUAAAAUAUAUUAACAAACUCAUAACCAUUUGAGUCAUUUCUUGUGAGAAAAGCUUUCGGAUUUCGGGCUUUCGAUGUGGGGUUCAAACUCUAGUGGAUACACAAUACAAAGGGACGUGGUGGGGACGUUUGGAUACCUAGCUCCUGAGUACUUCAUGUACGGAAAAGUCAGCGAUAAAGUCGAUGUUUAUGCCUUUGGUGUAGUUUUGCUUGAACUCAUAUCAGGAAGAAUUACUAUUUCGUUUGAUAGCCCAAGAGGACAAGAGAGUUGGUCAUGUGGGUAAGUGUUUGUUUUUUGGUUACUUGUGAUGCAAGAAACCAACGUUGAAACCUAAAAAAGAAAUUACUUGGGUUGCAGGCAAUACCGAUGAUUGAAAAAGGCGGCAAGUUCAUGAAGAGGGGAAGCCCUGUUGGUCCUACAGAAGCUGGUGUCUAUGCGUAUACCAAGGUUAGGCAUCGUUUCUACUGUUCUACCAUCUUCGUCUUCUUUGAGUUCUCUGUCUUAGAUGGUUCUCUUUGCUUGCAGAGAUUGGCUCAAUACAGGCAGAAAGCUGGACGAGAGCAGUGAAGUCAUCUGUUCCUGAAGUUAAAUGAAGAAAUAGGUUGUUAAUAUACGUAGCUUAUUUCCCUCAAGAUUUGGACCUUAGAGCGGUUUAUAAAGUGUUGUAAACAAAACACGAAGAAAACAAGAACACAGAAGAAAAAAACAUCAUUGAAGCAAAUAUCCGUUUUACUAUUUGUAAUUUUGUAUAUUGACUAUGUAAAUGAAUAAUAUACAAUAUUUUAAACUCAGAUUUAUGCAGCUUUAAAAUCAGAUAUUAUUUUUCUGUUUAGGAAUUUAAUCUAUUAAAAGCGGUUUUCCUAAUCAUAAAAGAUAUAUACCGUACUGCAAGGUUUUUGGACCCCACUCUCAUAUGUCAAUCUUGAUAACAAGUCAAUCUUUCUUGUGCUUUUUUCUGGUGUAUUUACUAUUUAGAUUUAAAUCACUUCCACAAUCAACGCAAAGUAUAUAGGAGUUCAUAUAUAUGUGCGUAUCCACCGUUACAUGUAAGAGUAUCUCCAGCUUAUUAGUAAGAAUGGUUUAGAAGAAGAUGAGAAGAGUUGAUGUUUUAGUUAAACCAGGAGCUUCUUUUAUUCUAGGCUACAUGUCUAGGUUCUUGUUAAGAGGUUCCGUUCUUGAUCUUCUCAUCUGGUAUGUCAUCCAAGCGCUUCAUCUCAGUGUCUGAAACCUCAGAAUCAGAGUUGGUAAAAUGAGCUGAGGUUGAAGACACUGGUGUGUUUCCAUAGAACUUCAAAUCAUCCUCUCUCAUUCUCUCAGCAUACUUCUCAAAAUUGAAACUCGAAUCACUGUUUUCCCCACCAAAGGCAACCUCAAGUUGCUCCAUAUCGAAAAUAUCCUCAAGAAUCUUCUUGCUCACGUUAUCAUCCGAGUAUACAAACUUCACCUUGUUGCAAGUCUUUGGCUCUAGAAACGGUUUCACCAUCUUCCAGGUUUAUACAAUGACACAUUAUGUCAACAAAGUUCCAUAUACAUUUGCAUGAGAGAUUCUUGAAAACAUACCUUCCAAAACGGUUCAAAAAUCUUAGGUGGGUUGUAUAGUAUGGCCAAGCCUAAGCGUUCAGGGUAAUGUUCUUGUAACACAUGAGCGGUUUCUCGAGACACUUUGAUGGAUAAAUGCGACAUGUUGAAACCGUGAAAAUCAAUUAGCCAAACCAUUUGUUCUUGGUUAUCCGGUAGAUUCAAGAUUGCAUUCUCCAUGCAGUAUACCAAGAAUCUAAUCUGCCCUUUAGGAGAUUUUGUAUUCUGUAAUAAAAUCAAAACAUAAACAAUAAAUCAAAGAAAAAUUGCAUAGAGAAUCAGAGGUCUGAAAUGGUGGAUAAGAGGCCAACCUGGCAACUUGGUCUCAUAACCAAAACUGGUCUUCCAUAUUUGUCGGUAUAAUUAGAUCGGUAUAUCUUACCGGUCUCAGCUUCUCGUGCAAUCUCCUCCUAUAACAACCAUUUUCGUGUUACAAAAAAAACAACCAUUUUAUGGUUUUAAAGUAUGUUUACAUAUUCAAGAAUACAUACAUACAUACAUACAUACAUACAUACAUACCCAUCGGAUCUCCCUGGGUUUGUACUGAGUCCUCCAUUUCAAGGUUUCUUUAAGCAUUUUAGUUGCUUUCUUGACAUGGCCGUUACGCGCAGCUAGAUAACGGGUAAUGGCAGCAUCUGAACAAUACUCAGAUGACUUCCCAAUCAGUGGCCCUAGUAAUGUCCUCACUUCAUUUAUCUAUAAUUAUAUCAACAGACAAUAUAUACUAGUUGAAUCACACAUCAAAUUAUAAUCAUCACAAAGCAGCUAAUGAUUCCUCUUAUCAUCAUCAUUAUCAUAAUCAUCGUCAUUAUACCUUGUUUAGAUAGUCCUCUGGUGGCGAUGUAUUCUCAAACCCACUGGAAGAUGAACCUUUGGUACCAAGACUCAUCUUACUGAAAAUUGAGGAUCAAAGGAGCAACCAAAACUGAUUAGAGACAAAUAAAAAAGGAACAAAAUACAGAGAUUCAUACUCAAAUCUAAAUUUGAGGGGAGAUACAACAGAAGAACCAAUGCAUAUAAUAGACACAAAUCUAACUUUGAUAAAUUAGAAACACAAGAACAGGUUCUGAUUAAACACAAGACAGAAAUACAUCCAUAUAACAGUUUUAAGAAUCAAGACAACUAACUAACAAUAUGCCCUUUGAUCCGACUCCUGAGUUACUACAAUCAAGAUAAAUUCAGAAAUCAAUAAGUUAAAGAACAUGAACUCACCUUAGAAAAAAAAUGAACUAAAGCGACUGCGAUGAGAUCGAGUUGAUAAGUCAAACUCAAACAUAGAAAUUUAAGAGCAUAAUAUUGAGACCGAGAAGUGGUUAACUUACGGUCUAAAAGUGUCAAAGACUUGAUUGUACGAAAAGUAGUUCAAGAAGAAGGGUUUUUGUCUGGCGGCUACGUUCGGACAGUGUGAUAGAGAAGCGUUUAGAGACACGUGACGCGCGGUUGAGGGAAGACAUAUACACCUUUUUGUUUAUUUUUUGUGUGAUUCAAAGCAGAUUCUGUUUUGUGUUUGAUGUAACGUGGACCUUAGUGAAUCGUACCGGGAAAUAAACCAGGUUUGACUUCUUGAUUUGAACUUUGGCUAGAUUGUGAAUAUGACGGUCUAACCGGCUUAGUCGUUUUCAGCCCCCUACGACAUUAUGAUAGGUAUCACCCUUGUAAGUAAGCUGACGUGGAGACUCACUGGAAGGAAGAUCAAGGAGAGCUUUGGAAUGAUACAGAAGGUUUGCAGUUACAAGCUUGAAGAAUAAGGAAAAAUAAGUCUGUGUAUAAAUAACUGUUGUGCAUUGCUUAGAACGGUAUCGAGGAUUAUAAUUGUGAAAUCCUUGGCGAUGUGCUAGGAACUCAGGUGAUAGAGUAGCUGAGGAACUCAGGUGAUAGAGUUCCUUCAUUAUUGUAAUUCUUGAGCUUAUCUUCAAUAUACAGCUUUUAUCCAGUAGAUCGGAUCUUUGAUCCUAUCACAUUACCAACAAUAUUUUCUGAUAAGUCAUAUGCCACCAACUCCAUUAAACCGAAAAAGGGAAAAAUUAUUGGAUUAGUUAAGCUUUUUUCUUUGAAAAGAAGUUAAGCAUUUUUUAUCAUCUAAUAAAUAGCUUUGAAUGAAAAAAGUAUUUUAAAAUUACUUAUUCUAUCUAUAGAAAAAUUUAUUGAUUUUUAAGUACUGUAAAAAAAUUUCAAUAUAUUUGUAUUUCAAGUUUAUAUAUAUCUAAUUACGAGCAAAAUCUUAUCGUUCACAAAACAAAACCGUAACAAAUAUAUAAAAUUAUUUGCAACACGUGACAUGGAAAAUGGUUUUAUGUAUAAGUAUAACUAUUACUUGCUACUCGGCUCAUACUUUUUAUUUGAUCCGUGAUUGGUUCGUAAAAUUGAUCUGUGAUUGGUUCGUAAAAUCGAGUACUCAUUUUAGCCAAGUCGAUUAUCAUGUUGUUUGUUUCAAUUAUUUAGAAGUACAAAACAAGUAUCAAAUAUUAAAAUAAAAUAACUAUUUGACGUUGUUGGCUUAUUACUCGUAGUUUGUUAUCCGUUUUUACUUUUGAAAAUAAAAUUUCUAAAUUAUAAUAAAAUAACUCAUUUAUAUGAUAAAUGUAUUAAAAUAUGAUAUACUACGAGAAAUAUUUUAAGGUUUUCUAUUUCAUAUAUGUGACGUGGAUGAAGACUUUUGUGAUUUGUUUUUAAUGUUGUUUUGUAUCAACUUAAUACAUAUUAGAAGUAAAAAUACUAUUUAUUAAAAAGAAAAAUUAUUUUUUUGCAUGUAAUUCUAACUAAUUAAGAUUUUUAUAUAAUUACAAAGUAUAAGUAGAAAAAAAAAUUAUCAAAUAAUUUACAAAUAACUUUCAAGUAAUCUGUAAGCACUUUAAUCUCUAAAUUCACUCCCUCUUUUGGGCUCCCGUUUUCUCUCUUCUUGUUAGGAUACUCUAUCUAAGGGAAGUAGAGCUAUUGCCUAGGUUUUUUCCUCUUUUUGUUUAAAAAAACACGAAAUUUCCUUAUUUUGGGUGAGAAUCUACCAAAUCUUUUGGUUUUUACUGGUUUUAUCUAGGGUUUAUAGGAGCCGCCGCUUUGGUUUUUAAAAAAAAAGAAGAACAAGUCUGCGGCAAAACACAGAAUUUUGAGUAAGGAUGGGAAACAUUGAUCGUGCUUUUGAAUCAAUGUCACUGGAAGAAGAUGAAGUCCCUUUCGAUCUGCCUGAUCUACCACAGUUCAGUGCGAUAGAAAGAAAUAAGAUGAGUAUCUUGGGACGUACUCUAAACCCUGAGAAUCAAAACAUCGCUGAUCUGAUCAGGGACAUGCCAAGGAAGUGGCAGGUGUAUGGGAGAGUACAUGGGAUUGCUCUAUCGAAAACUACUUUUCAGUUUGUAUUCAAAUAUGAACACGACUUGGAGGAGGUGCUAAACAAGAGAGUCUGGACGUUCAACGACUGGAGUAUCGUCAUUGAUCGAUGGACUGAGACGCCAGAUGAGGAUUACCUAAAGUACCUUUUGGUUUGGGUUAGGAUUCGCAAUAUCCCGGUGAAUCACUAUACUGCAGAGGCCAUUACUGCGCUGGGAGAUAUCAUUGGGAGAGUAGAUGUGGUAGCUUUUGAUCCAGAUAAACCGCAGACUAAUGACUAUGUUCGUGUGAGGGUAUUUUUUGAUGUCUCAAGACCAGUGAGACGCUCCAAAGUGGUCAAUCUACCUAAAGGAGGCGGAUCAGUUACAAUCCUCUAUGACUUCGAGAGGAUUCAAAAGCGCUGCUACCAUUGCCAGCGUCUGACCCACGAAAAGGAUAAGUGCCCUAUACUUAUUCAGGAACGUCAAACGAAAGCGAAAGAAUGGAGGAAAAAAGUAACUGAGGAAAACCAGAGGAAAGAAGAAGGGAAACAGACGUUUAUGGUCACUAUUGAGAAAGACGAUCCUCUAUAUGGGGUCCUUAAUGAAGACCAAGUAGGGGUGGACAAAGCGACAGGACGGAGGAAGAUCAACCCCGAAGUCUUACAACAGAUGAGGGAGUAUAUUUUGGCGGCUGAAGGUGGUGAGAAACGCAUCAGACAGGAACGGGUCCGGAAAUCCGUCUCUGAUCUAGACAAUGAUCCUAUAGGUCAGAAGAAAUUCCUGCGCCUGGAAGCUCCACCGGUAAUAACUAAUGAUGUGGAUAAAGGGAAAGGCUUUGUUUUCAGCUACUCGAAACAAACAGAACCACACAAUAGUAAAAACAAUGACUCACGAGGCUCAAGCUCACGGGUGGAAGGAGACAACAUUGCUUUGGAUUGUGGUUCUGAUGAUGGGGGAGGAAAGGGAGGUCCAAAAGCUGGAGAAAAUGGAAAUCACUUUUUCUUUGACUGUUCAACGGGUUUUAGCAGCGGUUUCUCUGCUGCUAGCUCUUCCGGGACAACAAAGAUAAAAGUAUCUGGAAGACACAGACCUCCCAAAAAAUUCCGCAGACAAAAAGCUCAAACAAGUAAUGAGGUGGCUGCAAGAGGAGAGGACAGUCUACACGGGGCAUCGUUGGAUUCAAAGAGGAAGGCUGCAGAGGUGGCAGGGAAUUUUUCUAAAAUCGCAAGACGUAACAAAACAGAGGUGGUCCCAAGUGGGGGACUGCCAAACCAGUAAUGAGUAUACUGAGUUGGAAUUGUCGAGGCUUGGGACGGUCUCAAGACUUGAUGAUUCCCCAUCUCAAGGAGAUACGUAAAAAAUAUCUUCCUGAGAUAAUGUUUUUGAUGGAGACAAAGCAACAGAAGGAUAAGGUGUUGGAUUUACAAGUUUGGUUGGGUUACGAUAGAGUUUUUACAGUGGAACCGGAAGGUUUGAGUGGUGGUUUAGCACUGAUGUGGUCAAAUAAGGUGAAUAUGUGUAUUCAUUAUGCAGAUAAGAACCUUAUAGAUGUGGAAGUUACUUUUGGAGGGGUGAGGUUCUUUAUGUCCUUUGUGUACGGGGUGCCGGGUCAUAGUGGAAAAGAGAUUGUCUGGGAAAGACUUAUGAGAUAUGGGGUGUCUAGGAAUGCUGGUUGGAGUUGGGUUGGUGAUUUCAAUGAGAUACUACACAAUGGCGAAAAGAUAGGGGGGCCGAGCAGGAGUGAUGGAUCUUUUGACAGCUUUAGAGACUGUGUUAGUGUGUGUGGGAUGACGGAGCUCAGUGGAUGGGGUGAUAGCUUUACCUGGUCAGGAGUGCGGUGCAAGAAAUACAUUCAAAGCAAGCUUGAUAGAUGUUUUGGGAACACGGAGUGGAAACGUAAUUUCCCCCUUGCGACCCAAGUUUUUUUGGAAAGACUGGGGUCUGAUCAUAAACCGGUCUUGGUUCGCCUGUUUGGACACCAGUCAGGGCCCAGAGGGUCUUUCAAGUUUGAUAAGAGGAUGGUUGGGAAGCAGAAAGUACGUGAAUGCAUUAUGGAGGCAUGGAAAAGGCAGAAUGGGAAUGACCAAAGAUCCUUGUCUGAACGGUUUGGUUGUGUGCGUAGGAGCUUGGGUAGAUGGAAAAGGGAAUGCAGUAACAACUCGAAGGAAAGACUGUGUGGACUACGAUAUGAUCUAGAGGCUGAGUACUCAUCUGGAGUUCCUGAUUGGGGGAAAAUAAAAUUUCUCAAGUUGGAAAUCUCUCAGGCCUUUAGAGAUGAAGAAGAGUUUUGGCGCCAAAAGAGUAGAGAUAAAUGGCUAGUGGCUGGAGACAACAACACCAGUUUUUUUCAUGCUUCAGUCAAAGAUACGAGACUGAGGAACCAAAUCUCAAAACUAAUUGAUGAUUCAGGACAAGAAGCCACAAACACUGAGGCGAUGGGUCAAGUUGCGGUGGAGUAUUUUACCUCUCUGUUCUCCUCAGGUGCGGGGGGAGAUCCUUCAGACAUUUUUGAUGGCUUUCCAGCAAGGGUAACUGCAGAGAUGAACCGGACAUUGUUAAGAGAGGUCUCUGACGCGGAGAUACGGGACGCCGUUUUUGGUAUUAAAUCUUCAAGUGCACCUGGAUGGGAUGGUCUUAAUGGUUUGUUCUUCCAGAAGUAUUGGGACAUCAUUGGCCUAGAUAUCGGCAAAGAGAUAAAGACUUUUUUCUCAGAUGGUUCUUUCCCGCGCGAUUGGAAUGUCACACAACUAUGUCUGAUCCCUAAGGUGAUAAACCCUGAAAGAAUGGUAGAUUUAAGGCCGAUUAGCCUUUGUACAAUCAUGUACAAAAUCAUUUCGAGGAUCUUAGUCUCAAGACUGAAGCCUAUGCUGGAAACGGUGGUGUCGCCCACACAAUCCGCUUUUGUCCCUGAACGACUGAUAUCUGAUAAUAUUAUCAUAGCGCAUGAAGUGGUCCAUGGAUUGCGUACUCAUCAAGCUAUCUCAUCAGAGUUCAUAGCGAUCAAAACGGAUAUGUCAAAAGCUUACGACCGUAUAGAGUGGAGGUACCUGGAAAACCUUUUGACUGCCUUGGGUUUCGAUAAGAAGUUUGUUGACUGGAUAAUGUUCUGCGUUACUUCUGUCACUUACUCGGUGCUGAUUAACGGUGAGGAGAAAGGAAACAUAAAUCCAAAGAGAGGUUUGAGACAGGGAGACCCUCUGUCACCCUUUCUGUUUGACUUGUGUACUGAAGGUCUAUCCUAUCUACUGAACAAAGCAGAGAGCAUGGGUGAGAUUGAAGGGAUAAAAUUCUCUGCGGAAGGGCCGGUGAUACAUCAUCUGUUUUUUGCUGAUGACUCGUUUCUAAUGGUGAAAGCCUCAGACGAGCAAUGUACAAAGCUUCGGAGCAUUCUGAAGGUGUAUGAGGAGAAUUCAGGUCAGAUGAUCAGCCUUACAAAAUCAUCUAUAACUUUUGGUGCGAAGAUUGCGCCAUCACGGAAGGUCAAAAUAAAAGAAAUUCUUGGUAUUGAGGCUGAAGGUGGGACAGGGAAGUAUCUGGGUCUACCGGAAUGUUUCAGUGGAUCCAAAGUGGAGAUGCUGCAGUACAUCCAGGAGAAGAUGAAGUCACGGUUUCAUGGGUGGUAUGGUCGGUUUCUCUCAGCUGGGGGGAAAGAUAUCCUGUUAAAAACUGUGGCUAUGGCAAUGCCAGUGUUCGCAAUGUCGGUUUUCAAACUGCCAAAAACUACAUGUAAGAAUCUCACGAGUGCGAUGUCGAAGUUCUGGUGGGAUGUGCAAGAAGGCAAAUCUAAGAUUCAUUGGAUCAGCUGGGAAAAAUUAUGUCUGGGAAAGAACCAAGGUGGAAUGGGUUUUAGGGAUAUAGAGAAGUUUAAUCAAGCCUUACUUGCAAAGCAAGGAUGGCGUUUAUUGAUGGACUCUGAAUCUCUCUGCGCACGGUUCCUUCGCAGUAGAUAUUACCCAAAUGGAAAGUUCAUGGAGGCAUCAUUGGGAGCGCGGCCGUCGUAUGCAUGGAGGAGCAUUUUGUUUGGCCGACAGUUGUUGGAGAAAGGUCUACGAAGAACAAUUGGCUCUGGUGAGGAUACAUCUGUUUGGUGGGAUAAGUGGCUUUUCAGUGAGUCUCCUAUGGCCCCCCUACGUAAACCAAUCUUCUUUGAGGUGGAUUUAAGAGUUUCUGAGCUUAUUAAUCCACAAACAAAGUCUUGGGAUAGGGGAAAACUGGAGGACAAUUUCUUUCCACCGGACGUUGAAAGGAUUUUAAAACAGAGACCGGUAUGGGGAGAGAAAGAUAGUUAUGAGUGGGUACAUACUCAUUGGGGUGGCUACACUGUGAAAUCGGGAUACUGGUUAGCUUCAUGUCUAGACAGUUCGGAGACACGAAGGGAAUGUUUAGCUCAACCAUCGAUUCAUGGUCUUUUGGAAAAAGUCUGGAAAGUGAAAACUGUUCCAAAGAUCAGGGUUUUUAUGUGGAAAGCCCUUUCGAAUGCUCUUUCGGUGAAUGAUGGCUUGCUGGCUCGAGGUUUAAAGAUAGAUCCACGGUGUCAGAGAUGUGGGAUGGAGGGAGAGUCUAUUAAUCAUGUGCUGUUCACUUGUCCGGCUGCUCGUUUAGUGUGGGCUCAGUCAAACUUUCCUUUCCCGCGACGAGGUUUCGAGAACAUGACUCUGUUUGAAAAUUUCAACUAUUUACUUUUCCUGCCAAGAUAUCUCCAAGUUCCAGAUGAGAUUGGUCGCAUGUUCCCGUGGAUUUUGUGGACUAUUUGGAAAAACAGGAAUCUAUUCUUAUUUGAGGGGAAGGAGUUUACGGCAGAGGAUACGAUGGCAAAGGUCUUUGAGGAUUCUGGGCACUGGUUUGCAGCUCAGAGAUGUCUAGAGGAAGAAGAUGAAGCUGAAAACAGAGCGUCUCGUGCUAGAGAUAAGUGGGAGGGGCCAAGCUCAGGUUUCCUAAAAUGUAACGUGGGUCUGCAGUGGUCAAAAAGGGAAAAGGCUCUUGGAGCAGCGUGGGUCUUAAGAAACGAAGGAGGAGAAACUCUCUUACAUAGUAGAAGGGCUUUUGCAAAAGUUGAUUCUUUAGUGGAGGGAAACUUUUUAGCUCUGGCAUGGACGAUUGAAUCAAUGCAAAGCCAUCAUGUGACAAGGGUUAUUUUUGAAGUGGAUUUUGCAGAGUUGGCUGGUGCGGUAACAAAGCCAAAAGCUUGGCCAGCUUUCAGAUAUCAAGGAACUGAGCUGAAGAAAGUUCUGGUUAAUUUUCAGGAGUGGGCUAUUGUGGUUGUUUCGUCGAGAGCUAAUAGAUGUGCUCAAGCGAUCGCAAAGAGUGUGACAAGGGAGAAGAGGCUCCAAUCCUAUGUGGCGAUGGGUAUACCCCUAUGGUUGAAGGAACUUUUUGACUCUGAUUUGCAACGGAUGGGUUGAUGUUCUGAAGGUCUGAUAGUCUUAACGGUUUUUGAGGGUGGAGCUUCAUGCUUGGUGCCCGCGGUUUCUUGUUCUUAAGUGCGAUGAUAUUCAUUAUUUUGGUUGUCAUUUUCUGGUGUCAAACAUUUUGUUUCUUUCUAAUAAUAAAGCUACGCAAGAGUUAAAAAAAAAAAUCUGUAAGCACUUCACAAAUAACAAGCGGUAAAACAGGGUUAAGUAAAUUACAAACACAUAUAAGUUUGUUAGCAAGUACUUAAAAUUGCAAGUACUCGUUUUUUACAAACCAAGUACAAUUUAUCUGAACAAGCUAAGCCAAUUACCAAAUAUAGCAAAAAUGGAAAGUAUUUGGCUUGUGCUCAUCUCUAGCUAAACCGCACAUCAACGAAGAAUGAAAUAAGUUGUCGAUAACUUUUGCAACCAUAAAAAAAAAAUACAAUUUUCAACCUUAGGCCUUGAAUGUAUACUGCAUAAAAUAUAUUAUAAAGCUUCACGUAUCUAUUCGGUUUUUGGUUCGGUUCAGCUCAGUUUUUGGUUUGAGGAUUUCUGGUUCUAAAAAUAUAGGAUCAAUUAGCAUAACUGGUAGGAUCCAAAUUCAAACCGAACCUUGUUUUUCGGUUCGCUUUGGUUCGGAUAAAUGUGCCCAUGUCUAGCUAUAGUUUUGCUAUUUAAAAAUACAAUAUUUUAGAUGAGAAAAUAUGUGAAUAUGAUUUGUAAAGUUUUUCAUAUAUAUAAUUGUUUUUUUAAAUUAAAUAAAAUCUUAGUAAUAGCAUAUUAAAUUUUAUAUUGAGAUAUAUAAAAUAAUUUUUUUAAAUAAAACUAUAUUAGUAUCACUAUUUUUUUUUGUUUAUAUGUAUCUCGCAGUUACACUAUUUAUUAUACGUGCUAUUAUUCAUACUUUUUUUGAACCGGUUAUUUUAGACGAACCGAAGUUAUUUUGCAGCAUGUUUUCUCUUAUACAAACCGCAAUUAAACCGUACAACAGUAUCCAAUCCACUUGUCCCGCACUGCUCAAACCACUGUUACCACUCGUUGUUUUAACAUCAUUCUGACAAAUUUCAUUUAUGUUAUAAAAGUUAUAUCAAUAAUUGUUUACCGGAAAAACAUAAUAGGUAUUGGACUAUAUAUCUUGCGAAAUUUUACGGAGACAAGUCACCUUAUUAUUUUUUAUUUUUUUUGCCAUCUGAUAUUAUUAUUCAUGUAAAAUACAGAAACCCAAACCCAACCCAAAAAAAAACCCAAAGAUAAGGUUCCAAACACAACUCCCAAAACAAAAUUAAACCUAAAAGCCCACAAACUGGCCCAAUUUAUACUGGCCCAAACCAACACGUGACACUGUUUCGUUUCUCCCCCCAAAGACGAGACGUGUCGAAACCUCAACAGCGAGGCAUGACACACGUCACGAAAUCCUUCACCACCACCGCCAAAGAGAACACACCGGAAACUGGACCUUGCCGGGAACUGAAUGGCACUUCACCGGACCUCGCCGGGAGCAAGCGCUUACCCAAACUCACUUCAUCACCUUUGCUUCUUUUCACUGGAGAGCGUCAAAACGAGAAGUCGAGACCUCAUCCAGAAACGAAGCCAUCACCCAAACGAUUAGAAAUCCCUCACUCACCAUCCAUGCACCAUCACCACUUAAUUUCAGAUCGUCGGAGAGCAUCAAUCGAGCAAAUCGAGAGCUCAUCCGUCACAUCAAGCACAUAAUCAACCAAAUCACCACUCGAGAAACCAUAGAAACCAAACCAAAACCGCCAUCGAAACGAGAGGACCGUACGAUGCGGGAGAAGAAGCUGGCGAGAAAGAUGUAAAACGAAUCAUCUUCUCCCAGUAGCAAAGUCGGCGAAGCCUGCUUAAAGAACAACGCUUCCCAGAGGCAAGACCCAAAGAAAAAGAAUCGAAGAACCGAUAGAGCACCGGAGAAAGCUUCAUCUCAUCUCAGAGAGGAGAGAGAGAAGUCCCGGUCUCCGUCGUGAUCACGAAGGUUAUGGAGACGAGUCACCUAAAAUCCACAUGCAGAUUCCUCGUUCCCACAAUAUGAAGUGAAUUUUUCAUUUCAUUCACCCCAGACAUAUCUCCACAUGCAUUUGUUUUGUUUUGACCCAUUUGUCUACUAUAAAAUUCUUGUUUUCUGAACUAAUAUUAGUUAAAAUAUAGGUAAGAAAAUAGUGAAAUCCCAAAAUAAUAAGAUCUCUUCGGAGCUUCAGAGGCCACCUGACGUAUAAGUGGAUCCACGGUAAGAGAGAUAGACAAACAGUAUAAAAUGGACCUUAUCAACUGUCGGUUGACUUCUGUGACUUCAAUAGACGAAACGGCUUCAUAAAUUAUUUAUAGGUUUUUAUAAAUUUUAAUGUAUAUUUUAUCUCGUGGUAUUUCUUGAGAUUCUAUGAUUAGAAUGGUUAUAUCAUCCAUCAUAUCAUCUGAUUCAUGAAGUAAUGGUAACUCCACUCCCUACACAUCAUUAAUAAAAACAUAUAGUUUAACAAUAAGAAAAAGAAGGCUAUGACAACACACAAGGAGACAGUAGUUUAAAAUUUACAUCUACGGUUUCAUGGUUUUGUGUUUCAGUCUCAGUGGCUUCUACAACAGAAGUGUUAGUGUGGCUCUCGAGAGAGAAUGUGAUUUCGGUGGCAUCAUCAUUCACCGUAUCAUCUUCACUAGAUUCUAAAACAAGUGUGUUACUAGAACUUUCUUGAGCGGAUCUGAUUGGUGUAGCAGCAUUAUUUUCAAAUUAUCUCUGAAAAAAUAGUGUAGAAAGGUUUUUAAUUACACCAAAAUUGAAUACACCUUAUGUGUAAAAAAAUACCUUACGUGCGUGAAUCCAACUACAACCACCUAGCCACUUCAUUGACAGCCUAAUAUUAGUGUAAUUAAAAACCGCAUCCUCUUUUGUAGCAUUGAAAUACACUUUUUAAUUGUUUUAAUGAGAAUUUCCAUCACUCGAUCUUUGUGCUACCCAUGUGUGACAACCACUUCAACAAAGUCAUUCAGAUUACAGUUUGCACAAAAAUCUCGAGGAGGAAAUGACCUGAUUUUUCAAAUCUCAAUUAUUGAAUGUUUUCUUUCCGUUUCAUCACUCAAAUUUUGUGAGCUUGUACAUCUUUUGAUCAAAAAAUUUCUUCUAUCACCCUCUUCAAUCUCUGUAAUUACUAAUGCUCGGACCCAAAUUUUUUCUUUUUCAUUUUCACUAAUUUCACGGGUAUUUCCCUCGUAUUAAUAUUUUUCCUAUUCACUUUCACUAGUAUCACAGAUGUCACCAUUUAAUAGAUUAAUUUUUAAAACAAAAAUUAAAAUAGCAAAAUCAUAUUAAAAUUAAAAGAAAAUAUAAGAGUUUGUUGUUUACAGUGUUGAAAACGAAAGUAUAAAAAGAUUUUGUGUAUUGAAAAAGGAAAAGAUACAUAAUUAAAAAGGUAAAGUGAAAAUUUCUCAGAUCCCUUCAUAAUCAAACAUUGUUGCUUGCCAGACUCAUCAAACCUAAUGUCUAACUGUAAAACCCCGUUCAAGGUCAACCAGUCUCUGAUCAAGAAAGUGUGAAGAAUAUAUAUAUAAUAAAACAAACAAACUCAGUUGAAUUUACCAAUCUCCAUUUUCUUCUUAAUUGCUCUUUGUCCAUGGUAUAUGAACGAAUCCACUAUUCCUGAUACGGUGAAGAUACCUCCUACUAUAGCACAAACAUUUGUUAGGAAGUGCAAGAACUCCACAUGCUGCUCCUCAAAUAUCACCUUAAACAAACAAACCAAUCAAAGUUAGAAUGUCUUUAGGAUUAACACAAGAAACAAAACUCCAAAACAGACCUUAAUCGGCGAAAGAUCAUAGUAGAAGAAAACACCAGGCGGAGAUUGCAUUCGACCUGCUUCCAUUUUCUGGAAAUGUUCUGUCACAGAGAACUUUACCCCCCCAAAAAAAAAGAAACCAAACUUGUUACAUUUUUACCCAAAAAAAUGAAAAAGGCUAAAAAUGUUUAAACAGAGAUUUGGAGAUGUAGCUUCACCUGGUUUGACUGAAUGGUAUGCCCAUGAACAUCAGUGUAAAUGCUUGGUACCACCUACAACACCAGUCCCAUUUCUUUAUCAUUAUACUCAAUAUUUUCUAUAGUAUGCAGAAGCUAAACUCGAUAGAGAUGGGGCUAACCUUGACGAAAUAUUGAUACACGCCAUUUUGUUUCUCCUGAUUCCACUGCACACUGAGAGAACCAAGAUAAUAUUUCAGAUGAUAAGACGAUAAAAGGCCUGUAUAAUGAAUUGGGAGAGAGAGAAGUUUAUACCCAUCUAGAGGGUUCACUACACCGGGGAAAAAGUCUCCAAAGGCCAGCCUGUUAACCUUGUGGCUAAUCUGUGUAGAGAUACAACGGAGUCAAACCAAACAUGAGCUAUAUAUAUAAGAGAAGCUGAAACAAGAAGGGAACUUCUCAUUACAUUGUAGUUCCCUUGCUGGAAAAAUAUAAGAUCACCAAAUUGGAAACCGGAUUGAUGAAAGCUUUGUCCUGGAACGAAAUGAAAAUUCCCAGCGACUUUAUUAACUUCCAAGAAACCGUGAAGGUUACAGCCUUCACCUUCUUCAUCUUUCACCUUUUGCACAUAUCCUUCUCUUUUACACUGAGAUUGAAUAAAUAAAGAAUAUUAUACAACUAGAUGCAAAGACCACAAACUAAGUAACAAGAUCAACACAAUAUUGUUGUUUAUGCGAGUAUACCUGGUCGAUAGAUUCAGGGUCAGAGAGGGCCCAACCUUUCUUUCGAUAAGCUUCACGAACUUCUUCACAUGAAUUACAACAAGUAUCAUCCGUCUAUAAAUUGUAAAGAAAAUGACAACCACAACAGACAUGUAAAGAGGAUCAGAACAUGUUACCACCAAAAUAAAUGUAACAACACUAAAUUUACUCUGUUGAACUAGAGAAAUUUACCGUUUCGGCUCCAAAGCAGGAACCACAAUACGUUUCAUUGUGCUCCAACCUUCCACCAUGUUUCUGUAAAGGUUUCUCAAUCUGGGGAUAAAGACAAUUACAACAAAGAAUCAGAGCUUUAACACUUUUCGCAAUGGAAUCAAAAAUGGCACCUGAGUCUUAGGAAAACAAACCUUAGUAUGACCAAUUCCAUCUUGUUUGGACUCAAUGACAUUGCCAUGAGAGUCUAAUCUUCUUUUAAUAAUAUCAUGUCGCUGAACAAUCACAAUAAAAAAAAUCAGACAAAGCGUCAAGAGUCACAUAGAUUUGAAAAAAAACAAUUCUUGAGCAGCACAUACCACAUCAAGGUGCCGCUCUCCGCUAAUAUCCAUUGUAUCAAUACUAAUGAUCGAGCAUUGAAGCGCAGGGAACGUAACAUCAAACUGCAAAAUGCACAUGGUCAAUUCAUAAAACAAGUAGCAAACUCAAAACUAGUAGCAACGGCACAAAGCUUUUACAUUGAUACGUAGCUUCUCUCCUCUUGACGUAUCAACACGGAGCUGAGUCUCCGUAACAGGAUGCAUAUAAAGCCCUAAAAGCCCACCAAGAAUAUUUUAAAAAAAAACUCAAAACCCACAAAUAAAAAUCAAAACUUUCGAGCUUUGAAGUAUCGUAGAAGGGAAAUGCACUUACGAAGCUCGGAGAAGAAGAGAAUUAGCAUGAGGAGGGAGGAGAAGAGGGUGAUGAGGCCGCCGGAAAGAGUACGGUUGUAGAAAUCUUCAUUGAUUUUGGGGUAAGCGUCCAGAUUCCUCAACCUGUUCAUCACGCCCACCUUCCAGGGGUUUCGAAUUUUACUUGAAUUUUGACGGAUUCAACGGAAGAAGGAGAAGGUGAUUCCAAUUCAACGGGUAAUCAAUCAACGGAAGAUGCGUCAACGAGGAUCUCUCGGAUUUUUCUCUUCCUUAAUUAGGCAAGUGAAUCUCUGCAUACGCUUCCCUUUCACUACGUCGUCGUAUUACCUUUUGGGCUCUUAUUAAAUCAUUAAGGCCCAUUUUCACUUAGAGAUGGCAAAUGGGCUCUCCCGGAUCGCUUCGGCUUUUUUCCUAUCAUCCCCUACACACGCCAAAUGUUAAAGUCACACAUCAAAAAAAAGUCAACUUGUUAUACUUAACAUUAAUGAAGAAGAACCGAGACUGUAACAUGCUGGUCUACCAACAAUCUUAACAAUUUACAUCAAUGUACAAGAAACCGAGACUGUAAUAUGAUCAAGCAAUAAGCAUAACAUUAAUGAACAAGCAACCGAGACUUUAAUAUGGUCAAGCAACGAGAAACAAUCUUAACAAUGAAACUUGCACCAGUUUAGUAAAAAAUUGAGCACAAACAUACCAUUUUCACUUUUCUAUUUGAGCAAGAAAAGCAGCAACUUCAAAAUAUAUGUUGCUCAUGCUCGACACUUGACUUAGCAAGCAUGAAAACUAGCGAGAAAACCACCAAAGACAAAUCACGUGAAUAUGGUAAUCCAAGGUUUUUCUAAACUGCUAACAAGUGUCUUAACGAUUCGAUCACUGCCUUUUGUUCAGUAUGUUAGGAAUGAGCAGGAACACAAAGCAAAAGUACGAUAUCUACCAGUUGAACACCGAAUACAUUAACUUCUAUUACUUCCUGCUAGUAUAGAUAAAUGAAUAAAAGUCGGGGGAAAAAAUGCAGAUAUGAAGUCAUGACGAAAUUCACACAUACCAAUCUAGUUCUAAACCAAGUCUCUGGCAACCACAAUGUAAGCAUCCACUAGAGUCUUGACAAUGCAUCUGAACUUUUGUCCUAAAUAGUCUCAGAAACUUAGUACUUGGUCUAUGAGCAUUCAUCAUAAUAAUUUUCAAUCAUAAAUACUUAGUUCCGAUUUCUUCCAUGGGAUAUGCUUAAGACAGCGUAUAUAACCAAUUUGAACACUGGCAAUGCUUCGUGAAGGCCGAGCAACAAAGGGAAGCCAUUGAUGAUAUCAGCUCCAUCGCAAACCAAGAUGGAGGUGGUGGCUCGGAGAAGAAGAGAAGCUAUUGUGGCGGAUCGAAGAAGAAGAGAAGCUACGGUGGUGGAUCCUCUCCUGAAUUGCCAUUUUCUCAGAGUCUUUCGUAGGUGAGUAAUCCAAGAGUCUUUGGAAGGACAUUUCGCUUAGGUUGAACUAAAUUAACCAAAGAAGCCGGAUUCAUUUCUUUGAUUUAUUGUACACUAAUGCUAAUGAAGCUGAAUUCCAAAGUACUAUUUUUAUCCACCAUAAAAAAGUCACAAUAGGUCCAUUUCAUUAAUAACAUAAUAUAACAUAAUAAUCAAUAAGAAUAUUAUAAUAAAUUAAUUUUAACUAUAAAUUUGAAUCUUAUUUUUAGUUAUAGAAAAAUCUGUUGAGAAAAAUCUAACAAAAUCUUACUAAGCUUUUUAAAUAUUUUUUAAUUAAAUAAUGUUUAAUUAAUUUCGUAAUUAAUGAUAUAAUUUAAAUUAAUAUUAAUUAAAUUUAUUAUAAAACAUAAAAAGUUCUAUGCUACUUUUUACAAAUUUAUAAUUAUAAUCUGUAUUAUAUUAAAGUAGAAGUAUUAUAUAAAAAUAUGAAAAGAUAUAUUAAACUGGUAAAUUAACUUAUUUAAUUUUUUAGAAAAGCUUUCAUAUAUAAAUUAUCAUUUAACAUUAAACGGAUUAAAAUAAGUUAACUACAUAAUAUUUUAUACCAAAAUAAAGUUAUUAACAUAUGUUGAAAUUUUAUUUCUACAACUAUAUAUUUUUCAAAAUAUCAUAUGUUGAAGAAGAUCCUUAAUUUGAUUAUUUCAAAUUAUAUAUUAAUUAUACCAAACUUGAAAAUGUAAUAACAAUUAAUAAAAGAGUAAAAGACAUAAACAAAAUCACUAUAUAUUAAUAAAAUAAUAAAAAAACAUAAAAAUAAGAUUUAAUAGUUAUAUAAUACAUUACACUAAAAUAUAAAUCAUAUAUAUUCAAAAAUUGUAUGAUAAUGUCAAAGUUUAUAAAAUGAAAAAUUCCCGCACGAAUGUGCGGGAUAAAGUCUAGUUUCUUGUUAUAAAAGGAGAUAAGUACAGAAUGUUAACUAAAAUAAAAACGUUAUCGGUUCCAAAAAUAAAUAGCGGAACAAGUAUUGUUACCAUUGAUAAUAAUAAAAGAGACUGUGAUAAAGUUAAAAACGCCAAAAUGUGCAAAACUAUUACUAUAUGGUAAACAUAAAUCAAAUUCAAAAUGUUAGGCGGUGACACUUCUUACUUGUGUGGACAUGGUAAACAUAAAUCAAAUUCAAAAUGUUAGGUGGUGAGACUUUUUACUUGUGUGGACAUACCAUUGUAGAAAAGAAACAUCUUGAUGAUAAACUAAUUUUGUGUCAAAUAUGUAAUGUAGUUUAGAACAAGGUCGAGAUAUAUCUGAUAUUUAUCUGUUAAAUUAAUGGAUAAUAUCUUCUGUUUACUGCAAGCUUAAAACAUACAUUUAAAGAUUUGGAUUUUAGCCGAUAACCAAAUAUCAAAGAAUUAAGGGCUGUUCGUUUGGUUGCGCGCAGUACCGACGGCAAGCAGCAGCGUUAACAUUAUGCGUCAACUCUUGUUCGUUUUCGUUGACGUAGAAAGUUACGUCUGACGCCGCGUCCGAAGCGCUGCGUCCUGCAACUGACGCAGAUAAANNNNNNNNNNNNNNNNNNNNNNNNNNNNNNNNNNNNNNNNNNNNNNNNNNNNNNNNNNNNNNNNNNNNNNNNNNNNNNNNNNNNNNNNNNNNNNNNNNNNGGUCCAAAAAAAAUAUCACUCAUCAAAAAAUCAUGAUUUUUAUUUUAUUAGAAAACAAAUUUGAAAAAAUUAAAAUAAAAAUAAAUAUUUAUUUCUAACAAAAUCUAUAAAAUUAUAGUAAAUGUAUUUGUGAAAUUAAUUAAUUUCAUUUUAUUUAAAUUUUCGUUUAUAAACCAAAACUAUAUUUAAUUUUAAUUUCUAAUUAUGUUUUAUGAUAAUUUAAAUUAAAACUAACUAAUUUUGAAAGUAAAUUAAAAGAUUCUAAGAAGAUUUUAAAAAGAUUUUGUUAGAAUAUUUUAAAUAUAUUCAUUUGUAUUUCAAAUAAAAUAAUAUAGAUAUUAAAAGAUAUAAUAAUGAACUUAUGUAAAAUAUGAUAUUUCUAGGAAUUGUCCAACUAAAAAAAAUCACACAUGAAAAGAAGUCAUGACUUCUGUUUUAAUAUAUAAGAUAGUUACAAAUACUUCAUUAUGAAAAAAAUCAAAAUUAACCCUAUUUCAUCAUUUAUAAAAGUUUAAGAAUUAUUUAUACAAGUUUAUAAACCUAACAUCAAUACAAACCUUACAACAAAAUACUAAACCCUAAGUUCAAAUAUUAGAGUAUUUUUGAAAAGUGAUAUCCAACUUAAUGUAUUUCUAAGUAAUUUUUCAAAACUAAACCAUUUUAAUAUAGUUUAAAUGAAAUCUUUUUCAUAUAAUUGAAAAAAAACGACCCAAAAUGCAAAAAAAAAAAGGCAAAAGUUUUUGAAAAUGAAUAUUUGAUUCAAAACAGAAAAACCGAAAUCUGUAUUGAAUUUGUUACAUUCUUAUGUGUUUGCACUAUUAUUUUUUUCCUGAACAACUAUUGUUGCACUAUUUAUUUUUGUACUUAUAAAAUGCUACAUUGGAGUCUUGGACUAUAAUUGUCUUCGUCAACGACACAAAAACAAAACAAGAACCAAUUGGGAAAUUUACUUCACUAUCCGGCCACCUUACCAAGCCGAAGCUCACUUAGUGAAACGACGUCGUAUAACCUAGCUCCGCGAAUCGUGGUCUUUUUUUUUUUUUUUUAACAACCGCGAUCGUGUUCUUAUCCAGUAAAAAGUGGAAACAACAUAUUCUCUGCCUCGGAUCCACGCAACUUUUAACCCUAGUCAGAUUCAACCUAACCACAGUUAGCCUCACCCCUCCAGGAUUCUCCCACGUGGACAAAUCGACGAUCAGUAAAAUAUUUAUUUUUAAAAUUAUCCCAUCGCUUUAAUUCGUCCCUCCCUAUAUCAGUCCCCUCUUCGUCACCUCUUUAGCUAAAUCACACCAAAACCCUAAUCUCUCCCAAAGCUUUCUCUCUCAAACACAAAAUGGUUAACCCUAAAGUUUACUUCGACAUGACCGUCGGCGACAAAGCCGCCGGCCGCAUCGUGAUGGAGCUUUACGCCGACACAGUCCCCGAGACGGCCGAGAAUUCCGUGCCCUCUGCACCGGCGAGAAAGGAAUCGGCAAAUCCGGGAAGCCGCUCCACUACAAGGGCUCAGCUUUUCACCGCGUGAUCCCCAAGUUCAUGUGCCAGGGAGGAGAUUUCACCGCCGGGAACGGAAC